RNAcentral lists this long non-coding RNA (49972 nucleotides) under Triticum aestivum (bread wheat). Its description in RNAcentral is "long non-coding RNA (TAES_LNC020468)". Lineage: Eukaryota; Viridiplantae; Streptophyta; Magnoliopsida; Poales; Poaceae. The record is from RNAcentral.
CAAACAUAUGUCAUAUGACGAGGUGGUUGUCCAGUGCCCUAUGGGCAGUGGUUCUUGUUCGUCUCCUGCAUCGUCGUCCAUGUCGUCGAUGUCUUCGGAGUCGAAGUCGAGCAUGUCGAUCAAAUCGUCGAUAGUGGCUACUAAGUGGGUGGUGGGUGGGCGGCGAAUUUCUUCGUCAUCGCAUCCCAAUCCUGCCGGACAUAGUUCGGCCAGGACUCUCCUGACAAGGAAAGAGACCUUAACGAGUUCAGUAUGUCACCGAAGGGCGAGUGCUGAAAGUUAUCCGCGGAGGUAAACUCCAUGAUAGGCGCCCAGUCGGAUUCGAUAGGGACGGGCGUAGGCGGUUCGGAGUCCGUGGACGGGGAAGGAUCCGACAGCUUGGCAUCACGGCUCUCAUGAAGGGUAAGGUCGAUACUCGGCUCGAUCGCCGCUGAGGAUACGGCCUCCGUGGCGGGGUCUAUCCACCCGUCCAUGGAUGGCGCAGUCGGCUCUGAAUUGAGGGUCGGAGCGGUUGCCGGUGCGAUCUCCUGAACACUGUCCAAUGGCAGAGCUAAAUCAUGCUCAUCGUGAUCGUGUAGCGCACUAGGCAGGGGCUCGAAUCCGUCGAAGAUCAAUUCUCCGCAGAUAUCGGCCGUGUAGUUUAAGCUUCCAAACCUGACCUGGUGGCCAGGGCAUAACUCUAGAUCUGCUCCAGAUGGCCAAGCGAGUUGGCCCGCAGUGCGGAGCCGCCGAAUACAAAGAUCUGUCCGGGAAGAAAAGUCUCACCCUGGACUGCAUCGCUAUCGAUGAUUAAGGGAGCCAUCAAGCCUAAUGAUGACGACACAGAGGAACUCUCAAUGAAAGCACCAAUGUCGGUGUCAAAACCGGCGGAUCUCGGGUAGGGGGUCCCGAACUAUGCGUCUAAGGCAGAUGGUAACAGGAGGCAGGGGACAUGAUGUUUUACCCAGGUUCAGGGGGCUCUUGAUGGAGGUAAAACCCUACGUCCUGCUUGAUUAUUCUUGAUAAUAUGAGUAGUACAAGAGUUGAUCUACCACGAGAUCGAAGAGGCUAAACCCUAGAAGCUAGCCUAUGGUAUGAUUGUAUAUUGUCCUACGGACUAAAACCCUCCGGUUUAUAUAGACACCGGAGGGGGCUAGGGUUACACAAGGUCGGUUACAAAGGAGGAGAUAUACAUAUCUGUAUUGCCUAGCUUGCCUUCCAUGCCAAGUAGAGUACCAUCUGGACAUGGGACGAAGUCUUCAAUCUUGUAUCUUCAUAGUCCAACAGUCCGGCCAAAGGAUAUAGUCCGGCUGUCCAGAGACCCCCUAAUCCAGGACUCCCUCAGGUGGGAUGCCUACCGGGGUAUCCCCAAGUAUAGAUGCUUGAGACUUCUUGAAAUAUUAUCUUGGGAUGCCUUGGGCAUUCCCAAUCUUUAGCUUUUGUAUCUCCUUAAUUCCUCUCAUAUCACGGUUUUCGUAAAUCUCAAAAUCUUCAUCCACACAAAACUCAACAAGAACUCAUGAGAUAAGUUAGUAUAAACCAAUGCAAAAACCUUAUCAUUAUAUACUGUUGCAAAUCACUAAAAUUAUUAUUAAACAUUGCAUACUAAAUGCCUCUGCGUAUUUAAUACUCCUAUCCUCAAAUAGAAUCAUUAAACAAGCAAACAUAUGCAAACAUAACAGCACAGUCUGUAAAGAAUGAAAGAGUAUCAAUACUUCCCUAACUACAAGCAUUAUUAAAUUAUACCACAAUGUAGAAAAUUUAUCAUAGAUUAUUAUGCAAAAAGUUUCAACAUUUUAUCACAUUCUGACUUUCCUCGGGAAUUUUUGCAACAUCGAUAAACUUUCUGUUUCCAAACAACAACAUGUAUACUUGCAAGAUAAGCAUGGCAAAGGCUAUCAAUGCUACUUUUAUUGAAAUAAAAGAUGCAAAACAAUAUUAUAAAUAACAGAAAGCAAAUCCUAAAAAAAUAAAUUGACGCUCCAAGUAAAACUCAUAUCAUGUGACGAAUGAAAAUAUCGCUCCAAGUGAGGUUACUGAUAAUGUUGUUGACGAAAGAGAGGAUCCCUUCCGGGGCAUCCCCAAGCUUAGUUGCUUGGAUAUUCCUUUAAUAUUAACUUGGGGUGCCUUGGGCAUCCCCAAGCUUAGGGUCUUGUCACUCCUUACUCUCCUCAUAUCGAUAUCUCACCCAAAACUUGAAAACUUCAAUCACACAAAACUUAACGGAACUUUGUGAGAUAGGUUAGUAUGAUAAAGAGCAAACCAUUUCACUUUCGUACUGUCAAAGACAAUAUUCAUAAUUGUUUCCACACAAUUCCUACUGUAUCAUAUCAUUUCCACAAUUUAUAUUGAGCAAUAUAAGCCAUAGAAACUAGAAAACAAGCAAACUAUGCAUUGAAAACAUAAUCUGACAACGCCGGACUAUAUCCGAGGUUUCAUAAAUCACCUUGGUUCAAAAAAGUAGAAAGAGUUUAGCCGAGCUUAAUGCCGGAAAUGCCCUAUAUGGAGCCAGCCACUAGUGCCCGAGCUUUAUGCCAGACUGCUUCCGAGGUGGUGCACCACCCCGACUGCAGGCCGAUUUUUUGUCAAUAUUUUUUGAUUGGUGCAAUUUAUUCUCUGCCGAGAUAUAUAGCCAGUAGCCCUCAAGGUGUGUAUCAGUCUAAAACCUGAGAAGCACCUGAAGUGUGACAUAAGACCGCUGAUCCCAAUAGCCCCUGAGACUCAGGUUGAUUCACAAAAUCGGCCUGAGGAUCAACUCCUAACUCGGCAGAAUACUUCAGGACACAAAAAGCGGUGGGCAAAUUCCUCGAGACUCAGGUUGGGUGCGGCCGACCAACCCGAGGAUCAUAAUCUCCUCGAAAGCUAUAUUGCACUUUAAAUUUUCUGCAUUGGAUUGUCAAUGCAGUAGCCCCCGAGUCACUGGUCGGGUAGCAACACCAGAUCAGGGGAUCGAUGUGCCCCUUUAAUAUUUGUAAAUAAUAAGCCCGAAGCCCAGUAGCCCCCCGAGCCUUAAUGCGGGCACGGGUGGCCGAAUUAAGGAUCGAUAUCCAUAGUAAAAUCACAAAUUAUGUUUAAUGAAUCUAUGUAUCCAAGUACUUUACAUCAUUAAUGCUCGGAUCCGCAUUGUACAAAACUUUGUUGACCGACAAUCGGCUUCAACCUCUUCGGCCAGUAGCCGAGGAGUGUUUUCCUACUUUAUAAAGCCGUUAUAAGGGCAAAGUUUAUGUAAAACAAGGCAAUCUGUCCAUACAGUUUUAUAAACAAAGGUACACGGGGAGAUAUGUUAUAUUACGUUUUAACGUAAGAAACAUCUUCCAAAGAAAAUAGUCCCGCUAUCGGUUGCUUUCUUUGGGUCUUCAUGCUUAUCAUGAUCAUGAAACCUCACCUCCGAUCAACGUGGGACGAAAAUAUUGAGGAUUUAGUUCGGGGAAAGUUUCCGAGCUCUGUGGUCUAAAUGAACCAAAAUUUUCACAUCCGUCGUUGCCGACCAAUAUCCUUUAAGAUUGCUAGCUUUCGGCUUCACCCAGUCUGAGGUACUUACUCGGAUGACCCGGUAAUAACAAUCACAGAGGUGCUCCCUUUACCACCUACUCGAACAAUCGGGAACGUAGGGGUAAGCACAGGAGCCAGGCAACCCAGCUUGGCCAAAAUCUUAAGUCAGAUUGAUACAUAUUUAUGGCUUUAUAACGAUGAUUACGGAAGGUAGCCCUCGUAUAUAAAAUACGAACGCCGAUGAUAUAUUUAUUUUGACUCCAUUGCGACUGUUUAUCACUUGAAAGUGGCCCAUCUUCGGCUUCUACACCUUUGUAGAUACUCCGCAGGGUGUCUCUGCAAUAACAAGACAACCCUUAGCCGACGUCUCGGUGCCCGAAGGCGGUUAUGUGAGCAGAAACGAGGCAAUAACAUAUGCGGGCUUUAUAACUUUCACUUAGUCAUGGGAGCUUUUAAACUGGGAAAGCUAGCUACGAGCCCCCGGUUAGUGUUCGGCGACAGCAGAGGUCAAGCCGUAAACACUUCGGCCAAUGUUAUGAUUGGCACGUCAUUUAACAUAGUCAUCGGAUCGCUGACCAGCUUACGCUUAUUGUGACAGUCAGUUUUUGGCUUUCUCCACUGAGGUGCUUAACCAUGCGAGCUGGAAGCACAAUCGCCGUGGUUCUCCCUUUGCGCACCUAGCCGAACAAAGCGGAAUGUAGGAGGCAAGCACAGGAGCCGGGCAACCCAACUAUUGAUCAAAAAUGUUUUGGCCGAAUCUCGAAAGGUGUCUGGCGUUGCACUGCGAGACUUAUGUUGGAAACACACAAAUAGUUUAAAAGUGCCAUAAUCUUGGAAAACCAAAAAACACCAGUAAAAACUUGACGUCCGAACAAGAUCAAGUGUUCGGUGCCAAUCCGAAAAUUGGAAAAAAAGAGAGAAAAAAGUGUGCUUCUGUCGUGCUUUAACAUGACACAUCCGAUCUCAAGACUUCACGCGGGUCGGCCUACGGCUUCAAGCUCCUUAUCCCAAAGGCGGAGUACUUCUCCGAGGUCAGUUUAGCAAACUAAACUCGAGCGGCUUUUAGAGAAAAGACAGGCUAUCCAGCUAUUGACCAUACACUCGAGUCGAAAAAGGAGCGGUAGAAAAAGACUUUGCAACGACCAAGAAGAAAACACAUUUACUAUAAAACAAAUCAUAUAAAUUUUAAGAGCCCCCACGUGACUUGGGUAAAGGAAUUUUAUGUAUAAUGAUUGUAUGUACCGAAGUACUUAUAUCAUAUAUGUGUUCUCUCGAACUUUAAACGCGUCUUAACCGACUGUAGGCUUCUCCCUCUUCGGUCAAGGGCCGAAAAGUGUUAUGUACUCCACCUGUCGAGAAUAUUGACAGUGUUUCCGAUAACCAGGCAAUCAGGCCAUAAGGCUGUAACAGACAAAGCACGCUCAGGGAACUUAUGCUAUAUUACUAACAAAGUGUAAGAAGCAUCUUCAAAGAAAAUAGUAUCUCCACUGAUACCUUUCUUCGGUUGCUCAUUGUUACUAUGAGACUUGUGCAAUAGAUUUUUUGUAUUCAUGAGUUCCGUUGUGUGCCAACCAUAAUUGAAAACAAUAAGAGCGCUAGCUUUCGGCUUCACCCAGUCUGAGGUACUAACUCGGAUGACCAGGUAGUAACAAUCACAGAUGUGCUCCCUUUACUCCCUAGCCGAACAAUCGGGAAUGUAGGGGUAAGCACAGGAGCCAGGCAACCCAGCUUGCGAAACAUUUAAGUCAACAUGGUGCAUAUUGUGGCAUAAUACAUGAACAAGGAACGAAGCUGUACAAGUAUAAUCAUAUGCAAGAGGAAAGGCUUCAUAAAGGAAGCCCCCUAAAUAAACAGGGUAUUUGAAUUUGUGUGUCACAAACAAAGUUUUGACAAGGAAGUUUUUCAUAAACAAUUUUCUGCCAAAAAGUAUAAUUCUUGGUCGAACCGAACAAAAUUUCAAACUGAAAGUUUUUGAGCAUGAAAGCGACUUAGCUGGUUAAUGUGUUCGGCAUCGAUGACGCGGCCCGAGCUUAAUGUGGGACAAUGUUCUAUUCCCCAAGCCGGUCCUGAGGGGGCGGAGCGAAGAGCUCGGCACUCUAAAGUGGUGACAUAGCAUGGCCAAUGCAGGCCGGCAGAGUGACACUGAAGUCCCCGGCAUGGGUUAAUGAAGUGUUGACGAAGCCCCCCGUCCAGCCGAGGUGACAACACUGCCCGACCUGGAUCAUUUGCGUGUGCACAAAAAAUAGUGCAAACUGGAGAUAAUAGUAAUAAUAAUAAAUUUUAGAAAAUUGUUGCAUAAUAAAUAAUUUAUGCAAUGUGAGUAAUAAAGGAAAUAUGGCCUGUGUGCCGAACACUCGAGGAGGUAGAGCUCUCUCGGCGAUGCCGAAGUCCCCGAGGCAACCGAACACAUCGGUAUGGCAACACGACCAACAAGGUGAUCACGCGAGCCAAUUUACGCCGAUUGGGACGACGGCGUCGGCUUGCCGAAGAGACCACGUAAGGCAGUCGAAGUCCAUCACCUACACACAUAAAAUAGUGCGGUCCAAAAAGAAUAAUUGCUUUUCGCAAAAAUAAUUUAUUGAAAGAGAUGUGGCCUGGCGCCGAAGUCAUGUCGAUGCAGGGCGUCAGCGUGACGCGGUGAAGGCGUGACCAAGCCUGAAUUCGCAGGCCGGUCUGAGUUCCGGAUGCGGCACUCGCCGAACUGUAUACGGAAACUGACCGAACCACCACUCGACCGUUGUUAAUGCGGCCACGAGAUUGUGUGAUGCAUAUCGUAUAAUCAUACCCACGGAUACUUGAGGUGACAUUGGAGUAUCUAGGUGACAUUAGGGUUUUGGUUGAUUUGUGUCGUAAGGUGUUAUUCUAGUACAAACUCUAGGGCUGUUUGUGACACUUAUAGGAAUAGCCCAAUGGAUUGUUUGGAAAGAAUAACUUUGAGGUGGUUUCGUACCCUACCAUAAUCUCUUCGUUCGUUCUCUGCUAUUAGUGACUUUGGAGUGACUCUUUGUUGCAUGUUGAGGGAUAGUUAUGUGAUCCAAUUAUGUUUUUAUUGUUGAGAGAACUUGCACUAGUGAAAGUAUGAACCUUGGGCCUUGUUUCAAAGCAUUGCAAUACCGUUUACGCUCACUUUUAUCAUUAGUUACCUUGCUGUUUUUAUAUUUUUAGAUUACAAAUACUCAUAUCUACUAUCCAUAUACGACUUGUAUCACCAUCUCUUCGCCGAACUAGUGCACCUAUACAAUUUAGCAUUGUAUCGGGUGUGUUGGGGACACAAGAGACUCUUUGUUAUUUGGUUGCAAGGUUGCUUGAGAGAUACCAUCAUCAUCCUACGCCUCCCACGGAUUGAUAAACCUUAGGUCAUCCACUUAAGGGAAAUUUGUUGUUGUCCUACAAACCUCUGCACUUGGAGGCCCAACAACGUCUACAAGAAAAAGGUUGUGUAGUUGAUAUCAAGCUCUUUUCUAGCGCCGUUGCCGGGGAGGUGAGUGCUUGAAGGUAUAUCAUUAGAUCUUGCAAUCAAAUCUUUUUGUUUCUUGUUUUAGCACUAGUUUAGUUUAUAAAAGAAAACUACAAAAAAUAUGGAAUUGAGUUUGCCUCAUAUGCUUCAUCUUUUUAAUAUCUUUCGUAAGUAUGAUGGAAAGGAAAAUUGUGCCUAAGUGUUAGAAGAAGAAUGCAUUAAAAUGUUUGGCACUAAAUAUUUCAAUUAUGAGCAUGAUUGCAAUGUUGUUAGUAUGAAUUCCUUGAAUAUCCAUGAUGAUAAUGAUAUGCAAAGCCACAAGCUUGGGGAAGCUAUGUUUGAUGAAGAUGAUAUUUUUUGUCCCCCAAGUUUUGAUGAGAAAAUUUAUUAUGAUGAAUGCAUGCCUCCUAUUUAUGAUGAUUAUAUUGAUGAAAGUGGAUUUGGAGAGGUCAUGACUUUAUUUAGUAACGAUUCCACUAUUUCGGAAGAGGUUCUAAUUGAUUAUCAGAACAAAGUUGCUAUCUAUGAUGAUUAUUGUGAUGACUUGUAUGCUAUUAAAAAUAAUGAUAACCAUGAAACUUGUCAUAAUGAUUUUAGUUUUCAAUUGGAUUAUGCCUCACAUGAUAAUUAUUUUGUUGAGUUUGCUCCCACUACUAUUUCGAAUGAAAAGAAUCUUGCUUGUGUGGAGAGUAGUAAAUUUUCUAUGCUUGUAGAUCAUGAAAAGAAUGCUUUAGGUGCUGGUUAUAUUGUUGAAUUCAUUCAUGAUACUACUGAAAAUUAUUAUGAGGGAGGAAUAUAUGCUUUUAGGAAUUGCAAUAAUAUCAAGUUUCCUCCCUAUGUGCUUAAAAUUUUGAAGUUAUGCUUGUCUUACCUUCCUAUGCAAGUUGAUUCUUGUUCCCAUAAGUUGUUUGCUCACAAAAUCCCUAUGCAUAGGAAGUGGGUUAGAAUUAAAUGUGAUAGUCAUAUUCUUCAUGAUGCUCUCUCUAUGUUACAAUUCUUAUCCUUUAUGUGAGCAUCAUUGAAAUCAUCAUGCCUAGCUAGGGGCGUUAAACAAUAGCGCUUGUUGGGAGGCAACCCAAUUUUAUUUUUGUUCCUUGCUUUUUGCUCCUGUUUAGUAAUAAAUAAUUCAUCUAUCCUCUGUUUAGAUGUGGUUUUAUGCUUUUAAUUAGUGUUUGUGCCAAGUAGAACCUUUGGGAAGACUUGGGGAAAGUCUUGUUGAUCAUGCUGUAAAAAACAGAAACUUUAGCGCUCACGAGAAUUGCUUCCAUUUUUUUAUUGGAGAGUGCUAUUUUAGAUAAUGCUUUUUGAAGAUGAUUAAUAGAUAAAUUCCUCACAUCCAGAAAUUUAUUUGAGAAUUUUAUGAGUUCCAGAAGUAUGCGUUUGAUCCAGAUUACUACAGACUGUUCUGUUUUUGAUAGAUUCUGUUUUUCGUGUGUUGUUUGCUUAUUUUGAUGAAUCUAUGGCUAGUAAAAUAGUUUAUAAACCAUAUAUAAGUGGGAAUAUAGUAGGUUUAACACCAAUAUAAAUAAAGAAUGGGUUCAUUACAGUACCUUGAAGUGGUGUUUUGUUUUCUUUCGCUAACGGAGCUCACGAGUUUUCUGUUAAGUUUUGUGUUGUGAAGUUUUCAAGUUUUGGGUAAAGAUUCGAUGGACUAUGGAAUAAGGAGUGGCAAGAGCCUAAGCUUGGGGAUGCCCAAGGCACCCCAAGGUAAUAUUCAAGGAUGACCAAGAGCCUAAGCUUGGGGAUGCCCCGUAAGGCAUCCCCUCUUUCGUCUUCGUUCAUCGGUAACUUUACUUGGAGCUAUAUUUUUAUUUACCACAUGAUAUGUGUUUUGCUUGGAGCAUCAUUUUAUUUUCUUUAGUUUUUCUUGCUGUUUGAAAAAAAUACCGAGAUCUGAAAUUAUUAAAUUUUAGAGAGUCUUCACAUAGUUGCAUAAUUAUUCGACUACUCAUUGAUCUUCACUUAUAUCUUUCGGAGUAGUUUGUCAUUUGCUCUAGUGCUUCACUUAUAUCUUUUUAGAGCACGGUGGUGGUUUUCUUUUGAAGAAAUAAUUGAUCUCUCAUGCUUCACUUAUAUUAUUUUGAGAGUCUUAAAUAGCAUGGUAAUUUUCUUAAAUAAUCCUAAUAUGCUAGGUAUUCAAGAUUAGUAAAAAAAAUCUUAUGAGUGUUUUUAAUACUAAGAGAAGUUUGAUGGUUGAUGAUUGUUUUGAGAUAUGGAGGUAAUAAUAUCAAAGUCGUGCUAGUUGAGUGGUUGUGAAUUUGACAAAUACUUGUGUUGAAGUUUGCAAGUCCCGUAGCAUGCACGUAUGGUAAACAUUGUGUAACAAAUUUGAAACAUGAGGUGUUAUUUGAUUGGCUUCCUUAUGAGUGGCGAUCGGGGACGAGCGAUGGUCUUUUCCUACCAAUCUAUCCCCCUAGGAGCAUGCGCGUAGUGCCGAGGUUUUUGAUGACUUGUAGAUUUUUGCAAUAAGUAUGUGAGUUCUUUAUGACUAAUGUUGAGUCCAUGGAUUAUACGCACUCUCACCCUUCCAUCAUUGCUAGCCUCUUCGGUACCGUGCAUUGCCCUUUCUCACAUUGAGAGUUGGUGCAAACUUCGCCGGUGCAUCCAAACCCCGUGAUAUGAUACACUCUUUCACACAUAAACCUCCUUAUAUAUUCCUCAAAACAGCCACCAUACCUACCUAUUAUGGCAUUUCCAUAGCCAUUCCGAGAUAUAUUGUCAUGCAACUUUCCACCAUUCCAUUUAUCAUGACACAUUCAUCAUUGUCAUAUUGCUUAGCAUGAUCAUGUAGUUGACAUAGUAUUUGUGGAAAAGCCACCGUUCAUAAUUCUUUCAUACAUGUCACUCUUGGUUCAUUGCAUAUCCCGGUACACCGCCGGAGGCAUUCAUAUAGAGUCAUACUUUGUUCUAGUAUCGAGUUGUAAUCAUUGAGUUGUAAAUAAAUAGAAGUGUGAUGAUCAUCAUUUUCUAGAGCAUUGUCCCAAGUGUGGAAUAAUAAUAAAAAAAGGAGAGAACGGCCAUAAAAAAGAGAAGGCCCAAAAAAAGAGAAGGCCCAAAAAAUGAGAGAAAAAGAGAGAAGGGACAAUGCUACUAUCCUUUGCCACACUUGUGCUUCAAAGUAGCACCAUAAUCCUUAUGAUAGAGAGUCUCUUGUUUUGUCACUUUCAUAUACUAGUGGGAUUUUUCAUUCUAGAACUUGGCUUGUAUAUUCCAACAAUGGGCCUCCUCAAGUGCCCUAGGUCUUCGUGAGCAAGCAAGUUGGAUGCACACCCACUUAGUUUCUUUUGUUGAGCUUUCAUACAUUUAUAGCUCUAGUGCAUCCGUUGCAUGGCAAUCCCUACUCCUUGCAUUAACAUCAAUCGAUGGGCAUCUCCAUAGCCCAUUGAUUAGCCUCGUUGAUGUGAGACUUUGUCUUUUUUGUCUUCUCCACAUAACCCCCUCAUUAUAUUCUAUUCCACCCAUAGUGCUAUGUCCAUGGCUUGCGCUCAUAUAUUGCAUGAAAGUUUAUAGGUUUGAGAUUACUAAAGUAUGAAACAAUUGCUUGGCUUGUCAUCAGGGUUGUGCAUGAUGAGAGCAUUCUUGUGUGACGAAAAUGAAACAUGACUAAACUAUAUGAUUUUGUAGGGAUGAACUUUCUUUGGCCAUGUUAUUUUGAGAAGACAUGAUUGCUUAGUUAGUAUGCUUGAAGUAUUAUUGUUUUCAUGUCAAUAUUAAACUUUUGUCUUGAAUCUUAUGGAUCUGAAUAUUCUUGCCACAAUUAAGAAGAAUUACAUUGAAAUUAUGCCAAGUAGCACUCCUCAUCAAAAAUUUUGUUUUUAUCUUUUACCUACUCGAGGACGAGCAGGAAUUAAGCUUGGGGAUGCUGAUACGUCUCCAACAUAUCUAUAAUUUUUGAUUGCUCCAUGCUAUAUUAUCUUCUGUUUUGGAUGUUUAUGGGAUUUAUUAUACACUUUUAUAUUAUUUUUGGGACUAACCAAUUAACCCAGAGCCCAGUGCCAGUUUUCUGUUUUUCCUUAUUUUAGAGUAUCGCAAAAAAGGAAAAUCAAACGGAGUCCAAUUGACCUGAAACUUCACGGAACUUAUUCUUGGAAGGAAAGCAACCUGGGAGACUUGGAGUCCACGUCAAGGAAGCUUCGAGGAAGCCACAAGGUAGGGGGCGCGCCCACCCCCCUGGGCACGCCCUCCACCCUCGUGGGCCCCUCGUGGCUCCCCUGACGUACUUCUUCCGCCUAUAUAUCUCCAUAUACACUAAAACGAUCGGGGAGCCCAAUAGAUCGGGAGUUCCGCCGCCAGAAGCCUCCGUAGCCACCGAAUGCCAAUCUAGACCCGUUCCGGCAACCUGCCGGAGGGGGAAUCCCUCUUCGGUGGCCAUCUUCAUCAUCUCGGUGCUCUACAUGACGAGUAGGGAGUAGUCCACCCUCGGGGCUUAGGGUAUGUACCAGUAGCUAUGUGAUUGAUCUCUCUCUCUCGUGUUCUUGAUUUGGCACGAUCUUGAUGUAUCGCGAGCUUUGCUAUUAUAGUUGGGUCUUAUGAUGUUUUCUCCCCCCCUCUACUCUCUUGUAAUGGAUUGAGUUUCCUCUUUGAAGUUAUCUUAUCGGAUUGAGUCUUUAAAGAUUUGAGAACACUUGAUGUAUGUAUUUUGUGCGUAUCUGUGGUGACAAUGGGAUAUCACGUGAUUCACUUGAUGUAUGUUUUGGUGAUCAACUUGCGGGUUCCGCCCAUGAACCUAUGCAUAGGGGUUGGCACACGUUUUCGUCAUGAUUCUCCGGUAGAAACUUUGGGGCACUCUUUGAGGUUCUAUGUGUUGGUUGAAUAGAUGAAUCUGAGAUUGUGUGAUGCAUAUCGUAUAAUCAUACCCACGGAUACUUGAGGUGACAUUGGAGUAUUUAGGUGACAUUAGGGUUUUGGUUGAUUUGUGUCUUAAGGUGUUAUUCUAGUACGAACUCUAGGGCUGUUUGUGACACUUAUAGGAAUAGCCCAAUGGAUUGAUUGGAAAGAAUAACUUUGAGGUGGUUUCGUACCCUACCAUAAUCUCUUUGUUCGUUCUCCGCUAUUAGUGACUUUGGAGUGACUCUUUGUUGCAUGUUGAGGGAUAGUUAUGUGAUCCAAUUAUGUUUUUAUUGUUGAGAGAACUUGCACUAGUGAAAGUAUGAACCCUAGGCCUUGUUUCAAAGCAUUGCAAUACCGUUUACGCUCACUUUUAUCAUUAGUUACCUUGCUGUUUUUAUAUUUUUAGAUUACAAAUACUCAUAUCUACUAUCCAUAUACGACUUGUAUCACCAUCUCUUCGCCGAACUAGUGCACCUAUACAAUUUACCAUUGUAUCGGGUGUGUUGGGGACACAAGAGACUCUUUGUUAUUUGGUUGCAGGGUUGCUUGAGAGAGACCAUCUUCAUCCUACGCCUCCCACGGAUUGAUAAACCUUAGGUCAUCCACUUGAGGGAAAUUUGCUGCUGUCGUAUAAACCUCUACACUUGGAGGCCCAACAACAUCUACAAUAAGAAGGUUGUGUAGUAGACAUCAGCCACCAUUUGAUAGACCUGUGUACAGAUGAUGAAACAAACCAGAGUAAUAAUUCCUUGGGAGAAAUAAACCCAAGCAAGAAAAAAAUACUAGGAUUAAUAGCACCUGGUUUAUCUAUUGUAGCAAUCUGAAGAAAGGUUACUCCCAAAAUUGGGACUCGAUCCGCACACCCAUUGCCUAAUGGGCGAUAAAGCGACGGCAUGGCGAUGCCGGCAAACGUGGGCUCGCCGAGUCAAAGCCCCGAUCCAGCUAACGUGACGAAGCUGGUCGGCUGGUGACACUGAAGUCAGCAGAGUAUGUUGAUGAAGAAAUAGCAAAGUCCUCGGUCUAGCCGAGAUAAAGGAGCGGGUCAGUAAGGAGAUGUUGCACCUGCCAUGUUAGCCGAGGUGUUGAAGCAGUUCGGCGUGAUGGACAUCGGCUUGAAAAGCAACAGUGCGGCCAUGCCGACGCUGGUCAUACAUUCUGACGCGGUCAAUGCCGGAUUGAUGAAGUGACCGAGUGGCGAUGUCGUCGCGCCUGACCCAUGCAAUCCGUGGGGCGAUGGUGUUGGUGAUGAUUUAUCCUUUGUGAUGUCGAACUCUUGUUCGGCUUGCCAAGCUGAUGAUCCAAUAAGGUUAGGCUUGGCUCGAUGAAGCGACAAUCUGUCUAGCGCAGGUUUGCAGACGUGGAGCAAUGUUAUCGAACUGGUGUGACACCAGCGCGAUGGUGAAGAGUGACUCAAAGAAGGCUUAAAAUUAUGUGGGCACGUGUUAAAAACAACGCACAAUACCAUAGAAGAAAAUUCCUUUUAAAAGGUUGCCCAAUAUCACGUUCAUAAAGAAACAUGAAUUCUGGUCGGAUCCGUAUUCACGCAGAAAACAGAUCCAAAAAAGGAUGCACUAAUCAGAAGGUUCCCGGAGUUUGGAUGGUCGGAUCGAGCUAAAUUUUGAGGGGUGGUAGAUAUAGGAAUUCCGCAGCAGAUCAACAGUUGGAUCUUCCAAAGGAGGUUCGAGCUAGGCGCUGGAGACCACGCCCUAAACUCGUCUAGAUUUUACAGGGCUCCAGUAUAGCGUAGAUUACCAGAGAUUCCUCCAUCGAAACUCGAUGAAAUUUUGCAUUGUUGUUGUAAACUCAAUUCCACACAAUUCUACAAAAGGAAUCGUCAAAGCGAUGCUCGAGGAGGUGGUGGCAGCAGAUACAAGUUCGUUGUUUGAAAAACAGCACGGUCGCCCGAGGGCAAUGUUGACGUUGAGCCCCCGAGCUCCAUGGAUGAUUCCUCCAUGAUCUUGAUAGAGAUUGGAGUUGAUGUUGAUGAAGGCCCCCGUCCGAACAUGACGAUCAGAGAUGGAGCGCGGUCCUUGGUCGAGCCAAGGUGACCAGUCAAGCCGGCGACGAAGAUGCUGGCGUCGCAGUUGAUCUGCGGGCGAGACAUUGAUCCUUUGCCGAUCACACAACGGAACUCUCAAUGAAAACACCAUUGUUGGUGUCAAAACCGGCGGAUCUCAGGUAGGGGGUCCCGAACUGUGCGUCUAAGUCAAUUGUAACAUGAGACAGGGGACACGAUGUUUACCCAGGUUCGGGCCCUCUCUAUGGAGGUAAUACCCUACUUCCCGCUUGAUUGAUCUUGAUGAAUAUAAGGAUUACAAGAGUUGAUCUGCCUCGAGAUCAUAUGUUCUGGUCUAAAGCCUAGAGGUAUGAUGAGUAAUAUCACAAUAAUCUACCAACUAGCUUGGCAUCGGCUUAUAUAAUGUACCAGAGGUCUAUGAUAACAAGAGUCCUAGUCGAAUACGUCGGUGGAGAGGAGUCCUUGCCUUGAUCUCCAAGUCUUGUGGAAUCUUCCUCGUGUAUACAUCGGCUGUCCGAACUGGCCCAUGAGCAUACGGCCAUGGGGGUCCUCGGCCCAAUCCAACUGAUUGGGAGACGACGUGGUGAGUACCCCCUAGUCCAGGACAACGUCACCCGUUGUUUCGGGCAAGCCAUGGAUUAAUGCUUGUUGGUGGUGGGGGAGUAUAAACUUUACCAUUCUACUUGGGAACCGUCUAUAAUGUGUGUAGCAUGGAAUAUAUCGACAUCUCUUGGUUGUUAUGUUGACAAUGAAAGUAUACCGCUCAAAAUAUUAUUUAUAUCUACUUCAAAACCAAGCUCUGGCACCUCUACAAAUCCCUUCUUCCCUCUGUGAAGGGCCUAUCCAUUUACUUUUAUGUCGAGUCAUCAUUCUCUUAUUAAAAAGCACCAGUUAGAUAGCACCACUGUCAUUUGCAUCCAUUAUUGUUAGUUUACAUUGAGUAUGACUUGACUGGAUCUCUUUUACCAUGAAUUACAAUGUUUAGUAAGUCCUUAAUCUUUAAAGGUGCUCUGCAUUUAUGUUUUGUGGUCUCAAAAAGGGCUAGCGAGAUACCAUCUUGUUAUAUCAUAUUACGAUUGUUUUGAGAAAGUGUUGUCAUCCGAGAUUUAUUAUUAUUGCUCGCUAGUUGAUUAUGCCAUUGAUAUGAGUAAACAUGAGACCUAAAUGUUAUUGUGAAUAUGGUUAGUUCAUAAUCUUUGCUAAAAACUUGAAUGCUGGCUUUACAUAUUUACAACAACAAGAGCAAAUAGAGUUUGUAAAAGUUUUUCUUUAUCACUUUCAGUUUAUCAACUGAAUUGCUUGAGGACAAGCAAAGGUUUAAGCUUGGGGAGUUGAUACAUCUCCGUCGUAUCUACUUUUUCAAACACUUUUGCCCUUGUUUUGAACUCUAACUUGCAUGAUUUGAAUGGAACUAACCCGAACUGACGUUGUUUUCAGCAGAAUUGCCAUGGUGUUAUUUUUAUGUAGAAAUAAAAGUUCCUCGAAAUGACCUGAAAAUCAACGGAGAAUUAUUUUGGAAUAUAUAUAUAAAAUACUGGAAGAAGAAUCCACGCCAGGGGGCCACCACCUGUCCACGAGGGUGGGGGCGCGCCUGCCCCCCUGGGCGUGACCCCUGCCUCGUGGGCCCCCUGGUGCUCCACAGACCUCAACUCCAACUCCAUAUAUUCGUGUUCGGGGAGAAAAAAUCAGAGAGAAGGAUUCAUCGCGUUUUACGAUAUGGAGCCGCCGCCAAGCCCUAAACUCUCUCGGGAGGGCUGAUCUGGAGUCCAUUCGGGGCUCCGGAGAGGGGAAUCCAUCGCCAUCGUCAUCAUCAACCUUCCUUCAUCACCAAUUUCAUGAUGCUCACCGCUGUGCGUGAGUAAUUCCAUCGUAGGCUUGCUGGACGGUGAUGGGUUGGAUGAGAUUUAUCAUGUAAUCGAGUUAGUUUUGUUAGGGAUUGAUCCCUAGUAUCCAUUAUCUUCUGAGAUUGACGUUGGUAUGACUUUGCUAUGAUUAAUGCUUGUCACUAGGGCCCGAGUGCCAUGAUUUCAGAUCUAAACCUAUUAUGUUUUCAUGAAUAUAUGUUAGUUCUUGAUCCUAUCGAUGGGCAUCUCCAUAUCCCAUUGAUUAGCCUCGUUGAUGUGAGACUUUGUCUUUUUUUGUCUUCUCCACAUAACCCCCUCAUUAUAUUCUAUUCCACACAUAGUGCUAUGUCCAUGGCUUGCACUCAUAUAUUGCAUGAAAGUUUAUAGGUUUGAGAUUACUAAAGUAUGAAACAAUUGCUUGGCUUGCCAUCGGGGUUGUGCAUGAUGAGAGCAUUCUUGUGUGACGAAAAUGGAGCAUGACCAAACUAUAUGAUUUUGUAGGGAUGAACUUUCUUUGGCCAUGUUAUUUUGAGAAGACAUAAUUGCUUAGUUAGUAUGCUUGAAGUAAUAUUACUUUUAUGUCAAUAUCAAACUUUUAUUUUGAAUUGUUCGGAUCUGAAUAUUCAUACCACAAUUAAGAGGGUUACAUUGAAAAUUAUGCCAUGUAGCACUCCACAUCAAAAAUUCUGUUUUUAUCAUUUACCUACUCGAGGACGAGCAGGAAUUAAGCUUGGGGAUGCUUGAUACGUCUCCAACGUAUCUAUAUUUUUUGAUUGUUCCAUGCUAUGUUAUAUUUUGUUUUAGAUGUUUAUUGGGCUUUAUUAUACACUUUUAUAUUAUUUUUGGGACUAACCUAUUAACAGGAGGCCCAGCCCAAAUUGCUAUUUUUUUCCUAUUUCAGUGUUUCGAAGGAAAAGGAUAUCAAACGGAGUCCAAACGGAAUGAAACAUUCGGCAACAUGAUUUUCGGAACAAACGUGAUCCAGAGGACUUGGAUUCUGCGUAAAGCAAUCAACAAGGAAGGCACGAGGUAGGGGGGCGCGGCCUCCACCCUCGUGGGGCCCUCAUUGCUCCACCGACAUACUUCUUCCUCCUAUAUAUACCCAUGUACCCUGGAAACAUCAGAGACGGAGCCAAAACCCUAAUUCCACCGCCGCAACCUUCUGUACCCGUGAGAUCCCAUCUUGGGGCCUUUUUUGGCACUCUGCCGGAGGGGGCAUUGAUCAUGGAGGGCUUCUACAUCAACACCAUAGCCUCUCCGAUGAUGUGUGAGUAGUUUAUUUCAGACCUUCAGGUCCAUAGUUAUUAGCUAGAUGGCUUCUUCUCUCUCUUUGGAUCUCAAUACAAAGUUCUCCUCGAUCUUCUUGGAGAUCUAUUCGAUGUAAUCUUCUUUUGCGGUGUGUUUGCGAGAUCUGAUGAAUUGUGGGUUUAUGAUCAAGUUUAUCUAUGAACAAUAUUUGAAUCUCCUCUGAAUUCUUUUAUGUAUUAUUGGUUUAUCUUUGCAAGUCUCUUCGAAUUAUCAGUUUGGUUUGGCCUGCUAGAUUGAUCUUUCUUGCAAUGGGAGAAGUGCUUAGCUUUGGGUUCAAUCUUGUCGUGCUCGAUCCCAGUGACAGUAAGAGAAACGACACGUAUUGUAUUGUUUCCAUCGAGGAUAAAAAUAUGGGGUUUAUAUCAUAUUGCAUGAGUUUAUCCCUCUACAUCAUGUCAUCUUACUUAAAGCAUUACUCUGUUCUUAUGAACUUAAUACUCUAGAUGCAUGCUGGAUAGCGGUCGAUGUGUGGAGUAAUAGUAGUAGAUGCAGAAUCGUUUCGGUCUACUUGUCACGGACAUGAUGCAUAUAUACAUGAUCAUACCUAGAUAUUCUCAUAACUAUGCUCAUUUCUAUAAAUUGCUCGACAGUAAUUCAUUUACCCAUCGUAAUACUUAUGCUCUUGAGAGAAGCCACUAGUGAAACCUAUGGCCCCCGGGUCUAUCUUCCAUCAUAUUAAUCUUCCAACACUUAGCUAUUUCUAUUGCCGUUUAUUUUACUUUGCAUCUUUAUUUCUCUUUAUCAUAAAAAUACCAAAAAUAUUAUCUUAUCAUAUCUAUCAGAUCUCACUCUUGUAGGUGACCGUGAAGGGAUUAACAACCCCUUUAUCGCGUUGGUUGCGAGGUUCUUAUUUGUUUGUGUAGGUGCAUGGGACUCGAGCGUAGUCUCCUACUGGAUUGAUACCUUGGUUCUCAAAAACUAAGGGAAAUACUUACGCUACUUUACUGCCUCACCCUUUCCUCUUCAAGGGAAAACCAAUGCAGUGCUCAAGAGGUAGCAUGACUUAACACCAACAGUUCACAUCUUUAUGUGAUUAGUUCACAUCUCCAUGUGACUAACACCCAAAGGGUUUACUAGAGUUAAUAAUCUAGUUCAUAUCGUUAUGUGAUUAACACCCGAAGAGUGAUCAUGUUUUGCUCGUGAGAGAAAUUUAGUCAAUGGGUCUGCCACAUUCAGAGUCGUAUGUAUUUUGCAAAUUUUCUAUGUCUACAAUGCUUUGCACGGAGCUACUCUAUCUAAUUGCUCCCACUUUCAAUAUGUAUCUAGAUCGAGACUUAGAGUCAUCCAGAUCGGUGUCAAAGCUUGCAUCGACGUAACCUUUUACGAUGAACUCUUUGUCACCUCCAUAACCGAGAAACAACAUUUCCUUAUUCUACUAAGGAUAUUUUUGACCGCUGUUCAGUGAUCCACUCCUGGAUCACUAUUGUACCAUCUUGCCAAACUUAUGGUGAGGUACACAAUAGGUCUGGUACACAGCAUAGCAUACUUUAUAGAACCUAUGACUGAGGCAUAGGGAAUGACUUUUCACUCUCUUUCUAUUUUCUGCCGGGAUCGGGUUUUGAUUCUUUACUCAACUUCACACCUUGCGACACAGGCAAGAACUCCUUCUUUAACUGCUCCAUUUUGAACUACUUCAAAAUCUUGUCAAGGUAUGUACUUGUUGAAAAUAUAUCAAGCAUCUUGAUCUAUCUCUAUAGAUCUUGAUGCUCAAUAUUUAAGUAGCUUCACCGAGGUCUUUCUUUAAAAAACUCCUUUCAAAGACUCCUUUAUGAUUUCCAGAAAAAAUCUACAUUAUUUCCGAUCAACAAUAUGUCAUUCACAUAUACUUAUUAGAAAUGUUGUAGUGCUCCAACUCACUUUCUUGCAAAUACACGCUUCUCCAAAAGUCUGUAUAAAACCAUAUUCUUUGAUCACACUAUCAAAACGUUUAUUCCAACUCCGAGAUGCUUGCACCAGUCCAUAAAUGGAUCGUUGGAGCUUGCACACUUUGUUAGCACCCUCUGGAUCGAUAAAACCUUCAGGUUGCAUCAUAUACAGCUCUUCUUCUAGAAAUACAUUCAGGAAUGCAGUCUUUACAUCCAUUUGCCAAAUUUCACAAUCAUAAAAUGCAGCAAUUGCUAACAUGAUUCAGAUGGACUUAAGCAUCGCUACGGGUGAGAAGGUCUCGUCGUAGUCAACUCCUUGAACUUGUCGAAAACCUUUCGCAACAAGUCGAGCUUUGUAGACAGUAACAUUACCGUCAGCGUCUGUCUUCUUUCUGAAGAUCCAUUUAUUCUCGAUGGCUUGCCGAUCAUCGUGCAAGUCAACCAAAUUCCAUACUUUGUUCUCAUACAUGGAUCCCAUCUCAGAUUUCAUGGCUUCAAGCCAUUUCGCAGAAUCUGGGCUCAUCAUCGCUUCCUCAUAGUUCGUAGGUUCGUGAUGGUCAAGUAACAUGACUUUCAGAACAGGAUUACCGUACCACUCUGGUGUGGAUCUUAUUCUGGUUGACCUACGAGGUUCGGUAGUAACUUGAUCAGAAGUUUCAUGAUCAUCAUCAUUAGCUUCCUCACUUAUUGGUGUAGGAAUCACUGGAACUGAUUUCAGUGAUGAACUACUUUACAAUAAAGGAGCAGGUACAGUUACCUCAUCAAGUUCUACAUUCCUCCCACUCACUUCUUUCGAGAGAAACUCCUUCUAUAGAAAGGAUCCAUUCUUAGCAACGAAUAUCUUGCCUUCGGAUCUAUGAUAGAAGGUGUACCCAACAGUUUCCUUUGGGUAUCCUAUGAAGACACAUUUCUCCGAUUUGGGUUCGAGCUUAUCAGGUUGAAGCUUUUUCACAUAAUCAUCACAGCCCCGGACUUUAAGAAAUGGCAGCUUUGGUUUCUUGACAAACCAUAGUUCAUACGGUGUCGUCUCAAUGGAUUUAGAUGGUGCCCUAUUUAAUGUGAAUGCAGCUGUCUCUAAUGCAUAACCCCAAAACAAUAGUGGUAAAUCGGUAAGAGACAUCAUAGAUCGCACCAUAUCUAAUAAAGUACGGUUAUGACAUUCGGAUACACCAUUACGCUGUGGUGUUUCCAGGUGGCGUGAGUUGCAAAACUAUUCCGCAUUGUUUCAAAUGAAGACCAAACUCGUAACUCAAAUAUUCUCCUCCACGAUCAGAUCAUAGAAACUUUAUUUUCUUGUUAUGAUGAUUUUCCACUUCACUCUAAAAUUCUUUGAACUUUUCAAAUGUUUAAGACUUAUGUUUCAUUAAGUAGAUAUACCCUUAUCUCCUCAAAUCAUCUAUGAAGUUGAGAAAAUAACGAUACCCCCGCGAGCCUCAACAUUCAUCGGACCACAUACAUCAGUAUAUAUGAUUUCCAAUAAAUCUGUUGCUCGCUCCAUUUUUCCGGAGAACGGAGUUUUAGUCAUCUUGCCCAUGAGGCAUGGUUCGCAAGUACCAAGUGAUUCCAAAAGUCCAUCAGAAUGGAGUUUCUUCAUGCGAUUUACACCAAUAUGACCUAAACGGCAGUGCCACAUAUAAGUUGCACUAUCAUUUUUAACUUUGCAUCUUUUGGCUUCAAUAUUAUGAGUAUGUGUAUCACUACGAUCGAGAUUCAAUAAACCAUUCACCUUGGGUGUAUGACCUCACAAGGUUUUAUUCAUGUAAACAGAAUAACAAUUAUUCUUGACUUAAAUGAAUAACCGGAUUGCAAUAAAUAUGAUCCAAUCAUAUUAUGCUCAAUGCAAACACCAAAUAACAUUUAUUUUAGGUUCAACACUAAUCACGAAGGUAAAGGGAGUGUGCGAUGGUGAUCUUAUCAACCUUGGAAUCACUUCCAACUCACAUCAUCACCUCACCCUUAACUAGUCUCUGUUUAUUUUGCAACUUCCGUUUCGAGUUACUACUCUUAGCAACUGAACCAGUAUCAAAUAUUGAGGGCUUGCUAUAAACACUAGUAAAGUACACAUCAAUAACAUGUAUAUCAAAUAUACUUUUGUUCACUUUGCCAUCCUUCUUAUCCGCCAAGUAUCUAGGGCAGUUUCGCUUCCAGUGAACAUUUCCUUUGCAGUAGAAGCACUCAGUUUCAGGCUUGGGUCUAGCUUUGAGCUUCUUCACUUGAGCAGUAACUUGCUUGCCGUUCUUCUUGAAUUUACCCUUCUUCCCUUUGCCCUUUUCAUGAAACUAGUGGUCUUGUCAACCAUCAACACUUGAUGCUUUUCUUGAUUUCUACCUUCGUCGAUUUCAGCAUCACGAAGAGCUUGGGAAUCGUUUCCGUUAUCCCUUGUAUAUUAUAGUUCAUCAUGAAGUUCUAGCAACUUGGUGAUAGUGACUAGAGAACUUUGUCAAUUACUAUCUUAUCUGGAAGAUUAACUCCCACUUGAUUGAAGCAAUUGUAGUACCCAGACAAUCUGAGCACAUGCUCGCUGGUUGAGCUAUUCUCCUCCACCUUGUAGACAAAGUACUGUCAGAGGUCUCAUACCUCUCGACACGGGCAUGAGUAUGAAAUACCAAUUUCAACUCUUAGAACAUCUUAUAUGUUUCGUGGCGUUCAAAACGUUUUUGAAGUCCCAGUUCUAAGCCGUAAAGCAUGGUUGUGACGCCCUCGAUUCAAUCAUACACUAAUCAUACACGCAAAUGUGUACGAUCAAGAUCAAGGACUCACGGGAAGAUAUCACAACACAACUCUAGACACAAAUUAAAAUAAUACAAGCUUUAUAUUACAAGCCAGGGGCCUCGAGGGCUCGAAUACAUAAGCUCGAUAACACAAGAGUCAGCGGAAGCAGCAAUAUCUGAGUACAGACAUAAGUUAGAAAAGUUUGCCUUAAGAAGGCUAGCACAAAAGCAACAACGAUCGAAAACGCAAGGCCUCCUUCCUGGGAGCCUCCUAACUGCUCCUGGUCGUCAGCGGUCUCCACGUAGUAGCAGGCAUCAGCGGUCGCAUCUGGCUCCUGGGCUCCGACAUCUGGUUGCAUCAACCGGAAAGAAGAAGAAAGGGGGAAAGGGGGAGCAAAGCAACCGUGAGUACUCAUCCAAAGUACUCGCAAGCAAGGAUCUACACUACAUAUGCAACAUUAUCAAAGGAAGGCUGUAUAUGUGGACUGGGCUGCAGAAAUGCCAGAAUAGAGAGAAGGCCUAGUCCUAUCAAAGACUAGCAUCUUCUGGAAACCACCAUCUUGCAGCAACAGGAUGGAGUAUAGCAGCAUAAAGUAAAGUAGUAGUAGUAGUAGUGUUAUCAACCUCGGCCAGAGAUCCUUUCUCGACACCCUGCGAGAAAGCAAUCCCAGAGCCAUACUAUCCAGUUAUCAUCACAAUCCAAUUCUCAUCACCAUCCAGUUCUCAUCACAAGUAUCCAGUUCUAGUUGUAUCGAUCGGGAUACAACUCCAAGUGUCCGUUACCGUAGGACAGGCUAUCGAUAGAUGUUUUCUUCCCAGCAGGGGUGCACCAACUUACCCACCACACUCGAUUAACUCCGGCCGGACACACUUUCCUGGGUCAAGCCCGGCCUCGGCCAAACAAUACGCCGCAACCCGACCUAGGCUUAAUAGAGAGGCAAGCACGCCGGACUAAACCAUCUCCCCGGGAACUCCUGCAUGUUGCGAACGCGGCCGGUGAGCAGACCUAGCUACCUCCCUAAAAAGGCAGGAGCUUACCAGUCCAACGCGGCGCGCGCUGCUCAGUCGCCGACGUCUAUUAAGCUUCGGCUGAUGUAUACGACGCAGAACGCCCAUACUAUGCCCACGUGAUGGUUAGUGCUAUCAGGCCAGAGGCCCCUUGGAUCAAAUAUCCAAAUCGUAGUGGAUUAGGAACGCGCGGUAACAAGCAGAGACUCACGAAAGAUGUGACCCCGUUUCCCCGUCUCGAGGACUUGCGGCAAGGGCUAGGAAUGCCCGGCCACGCCUCGUAAUUAUCUCGCGGGCACCUUCCAGGUCCGCCCGACUCCACAUCACUCGCAAUUAAGCUCGCGCGGGUACCCCUUAGGGUCGACCCAUCUUUCCAAGUAACAGUGGUAAAGUCCAAGUAUCCGUGUGUCCAAACAUCAAGGGGAAAACCCGAGGAAUCACCCCCGAUGAAUUCCACUAGAUGUAAUCAUCAAGGUGAACGUAAGAGGAAUCACCCUCGAGGUUCACACUUGAGGGGUUGCAUGACAAAGUCGUAUCGGAAGUGGUUAAGGAGGAAAUCACCCUCGAUGACCACGACCGAAUAGCUACUCUACAGAGAUCUCAUCAGGAGUGAUGUAUGAGGUUCCACCCUCGGCACUCGAUGGUAACUCUGUAGAGUCGAACAACAAAGGGGCGUGAUGUGACAUGAGGUGUCGGGGCCUGGUCUUUGAUCCCGUUGAUCGGGUCUUCUGAUAAUCCAGCGAGGCAGUCGGGUCAAGUGGGGGGUCACUGAUGUGUCUCUAACCAACCUAUACAAAGCAGUUUAGGAUAAGCAGGUAGGUAACAAUAGCAGGUUACAAUAAACAGGCUAUGCAACAGAAUAGGAGCAAACAAUAACAGUAGCAAAAUCUAGUGCAAGCAUGAGAGAAUGGAAUGGGUGAUAUCAGGAUGAUCAAAGGGGGGGCUUGCCUGGUUGCUCAGACAAGAAGGGGUCGUCGUCGACGUAGACGAUCACAGCGGCAUCAGCGGCAGUCUCGGGGUCUACCGGAGAGAAGAGGGGGAAGAAACAGUAAAUACAUAGCAAGCAAGAGCAUAACAGGACAACAGACAGAGCUAGACGUGUUCUAACGCAGUGCUACACGUUACCGGUAAAGGGGGAUAACAUCCGGGAAUGUUUCCCCAAGUUUAGCAUUUUCAGACAAAUGAAAUAGAGGGGAAAAGUUAAAUGAUCAGGUAGUUAGGGGCAUGUGGCGGACGAGCGGAUCACGUAUUCGGAUUCGUCUCGUUUUUCUGAGCAACUUUCAUGUAGAAAACAUUUUCAUCCGAGCUACGGUUUAUUUUAUAUGAUUUUCCGAAGUUGAAACAAUAUUUUGAAAUUUGUUUUAAUUACUAAAUUCAUCGGAAAAAGAAUUUUGACGUCAUCCUGGCGUCAGCCCUGCAUCAACGGUCAACAGACCAGUUGACUGGUCAACAGGGCCCACGCAGGGCCCUCAGGAAGUGACUGGGCGCUACCCAAGUCAGCAUCUGAUGGGGUCAACGGGACCCAGGGGCCCAAUGGCAGUGGCUGUGGGGGGUCCACGUGGUUAGCCACGUCAGCAACGCCGGAAACGGCGCCGGAGUUGGCUCCGGUGACCAUAUUCAACGGCGGCGCGCUCGGGAAUGGCCGGAAAUCGGCUACAAGGGGUCGCUCGGCCCGUGCAUAGGCUCGUUUGAGCGAUCGUCGAGCCGCGCAUCCAACCAUGCUGAUGGGAGGGCUCGGGGGAGGUCGGAGCAUCGCCGGCGACGAGCAAGGCGGCGGCGGUGUUCGGUGGCGCAAGGAGAAGUGGGCUGUGGGGGCUCCUUCGGCGCGGAAUCUGGCGCAUUCGAACGCAGGCAUCGCACCGUGUCGAACGGCGGCAAAGGUGGCCGUUGAAACGGCCCGCAGCGUCAGCUGCGAAGUCUAACGACGGUGGCCGGAGCUCGAGCAUGCAUGUAAGCUAACUACGGUGCACGGGGAGGAACCAAAGGAAGGAGGAGGGUGCGGAGGCUUACGGCGCGGCACACGGAGGCCCUCGAGUGAACGGGAGCGCAGAGGGGAGGCAGAAUCGAUCACGGCAGACGGCGGCGACCGAGGUUGGGGAAGAAGACGCGAGUGACGACAGUGGCGCUCCACGGGCUCGAUCUGGUGACAAGGACGAAGAAGUAGUCCACCGCGGACCUCCUGGACACCUCGAAGGGAGGAAUGGGCGCCAGUGGCCGCGGGGGAGCGCGAUGCUCGACGGCGAUGGCGCUCGGUGGCGGAUGGGGAACGAGGGGGGAGAAGGAUAUCUGGAGGGGAGUGGGAGAGACGGAGAGGGCGACAGUGGAGAGCGGGGGAGAGGACCGAGGCGUCUGGGGCCUUAUCCCCUCGUCGGGCGUCACCGGCGAGGUGGUUGGACGGCGACGGGCGCGCUGUAGCGACUCGGGUCGUGGAAUAGUGCAGGGGGAGACGACCGGGGAGGGGGAGUGGGCUGGCCAGCCGGAGUGGGCCGGCCCAGGUGGGCAGGGGGCUGUGGGCCGUCCGGUUGGCCGAGGUGGGCUGAGGCCCAAGGGGAGGCCAGGGCUCUCCCACCCCUUCUCUUUUUUUCCUUUUUCUUUUUUUCAGCAGCUUUUGCAUUUUCUUUUUAGCCAAUAAUGACUUUGCAAAAUUAUGCCACUGGCCAAAACAAUUUCAAAGAAUUAAAGUGAACUGCCACAAAAAGUUUGGGAGGCUUUUGGAAUAGUUGCCAAUUUUAUAAAUUAAAAAGGGCAUUUAAUUUAUUGCUUAGGUCACUGUUUUAAGUAGUUUAGGCCACUUAAACCCUUUGCAAAAAUAUUGGUUCACCAGCAAUAUUAGUUGUGGAAUAUUUGGCACAUGAUGAACAUUUUUGUUUUCAUGUUUGAGAAAUUUGAAUUUUGACUUUAAUUUGAAUUUGAGAUCUGGGCUGGAUUAGAAUCAAAGUGAGAUUAGCAACAGUAACAAUGAUGACAAGGCAUCAUUACAAGGGGAUUACUGUAGCAUGAUUCUCAGGGUGUUACAAAUCUCCUCCACUACAAGAAAUCUCAUCCCGAGAUUUAAGGGGUGGAGUUAGGGGGAAAGACUCGGGAAGGGCGGAGCUCAACACAAGAUAGUUACCUGGGGACUAUCUCAGUGAACGUUGCAAAGAGGCAUCUCUCGAGUAGAAAUUCAAGGAAGUCAUCGAGAGCAAAGUGAGGUGCAAUAAGAAGCUCCAACCGGUUAGGUAAUCGUUCGAUGUCUGAAACAAAGUGUGAAAGGGGCUCAGAGCAUCGAGAAUAAAUAUUGCGUCUUGAUACCAGAACAGAUCACAAGGAAGAUGGCUCGCGAAUUACAUAUGAAGCCAAGCGUGAGGGAUAACUUAGAAAACAGGGAUGUAUAGGAGAGUCAGGUUUUGAUCCUGUGGAACUGUGGGUUAUGGGCCCACCAUGUGGGUUAAAGGUAGAAAGGGGCCGAUAGCAAGGCAUGUCAGAUGAUAGACUGUCAGUUAUGUUGCCAACAACCUUGGUGCCAAGGGCGAGGGACGAAGAGAACUAUUUUCCUACUCGUUGAAUGAGGUGGACCAAUAGGCAAAGUUCUCGUCCAUUGGUGGUUACCGGAAUGUUAACAGCAAUAAUAGCAUGGUCUUACUGACAAAUUGUACACCUGGGUGUUUUCAUAGGAAGAGAAUUAAUAUUGCUUAGGUCAUAUAGACCACAAGAAAGGUUAAACAACCAAUGGAAAGGAAAAUGAAACUAUCAGAUUAAACAAACCAACGGAAAGGAAAAUGUGUCUAUCAAACUUAACAGACCAAUGGAAAGGAAACUGUGUUCAACACAAGAAUUGGGAGUAUAUCCUUCCCAAAGAAAAGCGGAGCAUGAUAUACAUGAUAGGACAUUAAGUGCAAAAGCAUUUAGAUAAAGGGGCGAGCAAAGAAUUAGGAUAUUACCCAUACAACAGUGUUUGGAUAAUAGAUCAAGAAGCAUUUAGAAUUUUGCUUCAAAUGUUCGUGUUGAUAUUCGAAAUACCACAGUCAUGCUUCGAGAUAGCACUGAUAUGGUGUUUCAAUUAAGGAUUGGUUCUGUAGAUCAUAAGAGAUUCAAAGGAACAUUUCCAAGAUUAUCUCGGAACGUAAGGUAUAACCAAACACAAUCAGGUCUGUGUUGGUAGGAAGUCAAGGACGUUGUCGAUGAUAACACAAUCAUCGAGGGGCGAGGAUGGUAUUUCUCAUCAUGAAUUCGAUUGAUAUCCUGAAACAGGUCAGUAUAUUGAUGGGGAUCACGACAGAUUUUGUCGAGGUACUAUGAAGAGGCCAUCGAACAGCGACGACAUCAAGUAAAAGGAAUGAUGCAGCAAAAGGUUAUUGGAACCACGGAUGCGACACAAGCUCAAAAUCAAGCUUGUUGUUAGAGGUGAAAUGAUAAGAUGAGGAAGAUCGACAUAAGCUUAGCUCGUCGUCCGAAGUUGUGCUCCGGGAAGAAGGACCGGGUAGCACAGUUAAAAUUAGCUCGAUAAUGAUAUAGCCGAUCAAGCUAGGAAUGAUGUGAUGGAGUAUCGUUCUAAUGAGAAUUCACAAGAGGUAGUGCAAUGGCACAAUAUCCUCGAGAUAAUAUGGGGCAAUACUCGAGGUAGAUCAAAAUAGAGGUUUGGACAGAUGAAAUGAUCUGCAGAAUACAAGUAUUUUAACUUGUCCGGGAAAUGGAAUCAAGGAGAAAAUAUGGUCGGAACCACGAUUGCAAAGAAUCAAUUUACAGAUGCAAGUUGAGCUUAUAGCAAGGGAACAUUUGAUUAUAAGAGAAGCUUCCAUGAUAAGAUCUACAUCGUGUCUAUGGGCAUGAACACAAGGUUCAAGGUCGACUCCCACUUCUUCAAUGCAUAACCUCUCAUUUACUUCUCGCUUUUGAAGAAGUUGUAAUGUAGAAAUUUUUAUCCGGCGUAACACCAGUAGAGUAUGACCCAUAGAGAUUUCCGGGUUCACACAAAUUAGGGAAAGCAUUAGCUCAACCCGUCGGGGCAUCUUAGGAACAUUUGCAAAAACUUCAGAGGUAAUUAACUCAAGCUCAGAAGCAGAGCAUGGUUGACAAAGCAGAGAAUACAAUUUACCAAAGGCAAUAUGUGUUGGGGGAAAAGCGGACAAAAUUUUGAAUAAGAACUAAACUGUCAGACAAUAAUCCAACAAAGGAUUCAGCGGUCCUUAAUGGAUCUGAUGUGAGUAUCAGUACUUAAUCAGAAGAAGGAAAGAAUGCAAAGCCAUUGGAUUAUAGAAACAUCUGAAUAAUUCGAUGCUUGAGUAUAAAGGAGUUAUGAUUUCAAGUCGAAGGGUCAGAAGCAGAGGCUCUGAUCAAAAUAUGAGUAAGUUGAAUAGACUUAGCGGUGCACCCGAUCAAAUCUUGAUUGGGCAAAAACCAGCUCAUAACCAGAGCGAUGUCGGAGCCGAAAAGAAAAUUUCCAAGGAUUAAUUGAUGAUUGCGAGUAUUCGCUCACACAUUGAAUCCAUAAGAACAGAAUAACAACCACAAAGAGUUUUAAAGAAUAUUGCUAGACAUAUGGAAUUAAUCCUAAUGCAAGCAGGCAUGAAUUUCAAGAGCAACAAGGGGUGUAGAGAAAUUUCGAAAGAUCGAUUAACAAUGGGAAUGAUAUUGCGAAGCACAUGAUCAACUAGGGAUGAACGAAUCCCUGAUAAGUGUGAGGAAUUAUCUGCAGUGCGAAAGAAGCUGCAAAGCAGAAGCACAAGGAUUCUCGGAACAACGAAUAGUAUUGGGGUAACUUGUAAUCAUCAAGAGCGAUUGGGAAUGAUUGUAUGAACCACACGCGUAAGUCGUUAUCCAUAUGAAUAUAACGGUGGUAGGGAAUUGCAAAGGCGGAGGUCACAAGGGUCUCGGGAAAACAUCGGAGAGUAACUGCAGAAUCUUCUGGUGCAGUAAGCGGUCAUCGUAAUGUCGGGGCUCUCCAGAAGGAAGUGGUUACGAUAUCCUAGAGUAAGGGUUAGUAAAAAGUUUAACCCGAAUAGACGAGAGAUCGGAGUCCCAGAGUAUAGAUGAGGAACAAAAGAUCCUAAUACCACCAAAUGGCGACAUGGGUCCAUAAGACACACAACCAAGUUAGUAAAAGUUUUGUAAAGACUAGACUCGACUUCGGCCAAGGAGUUGGAAGGGGGGCUACCUAUAGGCAGUCGGCUCUGAUACCAAUUUGUGACGCCCUCAUUUCAAUCAUAGACUAAUCAUACACGCAAAUGUGUACGAUCAAGAUCAAGGACUCACGGGAAGAUAUCACAACACAACUCUAGACACAAAUUAAAAUAAUACAAGCUUUAUAUUACAAGCCAGGGGCCUCGAGGACUCGAAUACAUAAGCUCGAUAACACAAGAGUCAGCGGAAGCAGCAAUAUCUGAGUACAGACAUAAGUUAGACAAGUUUGCCUUAAGAAGGCUAGCACAAAAGCAACAACGAUCGAAAAGGCAAGGCCUCCUGCCUGGGAGCCUCCUAACUGCUCCUGGUCGUCAGCGGUCUCCACGUAGUAGCAGGCAUCGGCGGUGGCAUCUAGCUCCUGGGCUCUGACAUCUGGCUUCAUCAACCGGAAAGAAGAAGAAAGGGGGGAAAGGGGGAGCAAAGCAACCAUGAGUACUCAUCCAAAGUACUCGCAAGCAAGGAUCUACACUACAUAUGCAACAUUAUCAAAGGAAGGCUGUAUAUGUGGACUGGGCUGCAGAAAUGCUAGAAUAGAGAGAAGGCCUAGUCCUAUCGAAGGCUAGCAUCUUCUAGAAACCACCAUCUUGCAGCAACAGGAUGGAGUAUAGCAGCAUAAAGUAAAGUAGUAGUAGUGUUAUCAACCUCGGCCAGAGAUCCUUUCUCGACACCCUGCGAGAAAACAAUCCCAGAGCCAUACUAUCCAGUUAUCAUCACAAUCCAAUUCUCAUCACCAUCCAGUUCUCACCACAAGUAUCCAGUUCUAGUUGUAUCGAUCAGGAUACAACUCCAAGUGUCUGUUACCGUAGGACAGUCCAUCGAUAGAUGUUUUCUUCCCUGCAGGGGUGCACCAACUUACCCACCACGCUCGAUUAACUCCGGUCGGACACACUUUCCUGGGUCAUGCCCGGCCUCGGCCAAACAAUACACCGCAACCCGACCUAGGCUUAAUAGAGAGGCCAGCACACCGGACUAAACCAUCUCCCCGGGAACUCCUGCACGUUGCGAACGUGGCCAGUGAGCAGACCUAGCUACCUCCCUAAAAGGCAGGAGCUUACCAGUCCAACCCGGCGCGCGCCGCUCAGUCGCUGACGUCUAUUAAGCUUCGGCUGAUGUAUACGACGCAGAACGCCCAUACUAUGCCGAUGUGAUGGUUAGUGCUAUCAGGCCAGAGGCCCCUCGGAUCAAAUAUCCAAAUCGUAGUGGAUUAGGAACGCGCGGUAACAAGCAGAGACUCACGAAAGAUGUGACCCCGUUGCCCCGUCUCGAGGACUUGCGGCAAGGGCUAGGAAUGCCCGGCCACGCCUCGUAAUUAUCUCGUGGGCACCUUCCAGGUCCGCCCGACUCCACAUCACUCGCAAUUAAGCUCGCGCGGGUACCCCUCAGGGUCAACCCGUCUUUCCAAGUAACAGUGGUAAAGUCCAAGUAUCCGUGUGUCCAAACAUCAAGGGAAAACCCGAGGAAUCACCCCUGAUGAAUUCCACUAGAUGUAAUCAUCAAGGUGAACGUAAGAGGAAUCACCCUCGAGGUUCACACUUGAGGGGUUGCACCAUAGAGUCAUAUCGGAAGUGGUUAAGGAGGAAAUCACCCUCGAUGACCAUGACCGAAUAGCUACUCUACAGAGAUCUCAUCAGGAGUGAUGUAUGAGGUUCCACCCUCGGCACUCGAUGGUAACUCUGUAGAGUCGAGCAACAAAGGGGCGUGAUGUGACGUGAGGUGUCGGGGCCUGGUCUUUGAUCCCGUUGAUCGGGUCUUCUGAUUAUCCGGCGAGGCAGUCGGGUCAAGUGGGGAGGUCACUGAUGUGUCUCUAACCAACCUAUACUAAGCAGUUUAGGAUAAGCAGGUAGGUAACAAUAGCAGGUUACAAUAAACAGGCUAUGCAACAGAAUAAGAGCAAACAAUAACAGUAUCAAAAUCUAGUGCAAGCAUGAGAGAAUGGAAUGGGCGAUAUCGGAAUGAUCAAAGGGGGGGCUUGCCUGGUUGCUCAGAUAAGAAGAAGGGGUCGUCGUCGACGUAGACGAUCACAGCGGCAUCAGCGGCAGUCUCGGUGUCUACCGGAGAUAAGAGGGGGAAGAAAAAGUAAAUACAUAGCAAGCAAGAGCAUAACAGGACAACAGACAGAGCUAGACGUGUUCUAACGCGGUGCUACACGUUACCGGUGAAGGGGGAUAACAUCCGGGAAUGUUUCCCCAAGUUUAGCAUUUUCAGACAGGUGAAACGGAGGGGGAAAGUUAAAUGAUCAGGUAGUUAGGGGCAGUGGCGGACGAACGGAUCGCAUAUUCGGAUUCGUCUCGUUUUUCUGAGCAACUUUCAUGUAGAAAAUAUUUUCAUCCGAGCUACGGUUUAUUUUAUAUGAUUUUUCGAAGUUUAAACAAUAUUUUCAAAUUUGUUUUAAUUACUAAAUUCAUCAGAAAAAGAAUUGUGACGUCAUCCUGGCUUCAGCCCUGCAUCAGCGGUCAACAGACCAGUUGACUGGUCAACAGGGCCCACGCGGGGCCCUCAGGCAGUGACUGGGCGCUACCCAGUCAGCAUCUGACGGGGUCAACGGGACCCAGGGGCCCAAUGGCAGUGGCUGUGGGGGGUCCGUGUGGUCAGCCACGUCAGCAACGCCGGAAACGGCGCCGGAGUUGGCUCCGGUGACCAUAUUCAACGGCGGCUCGCUCGGGAAUGGCCGGAAAUCGGCUACAAGGGGUCGCUUGGCCCAUGCGUAGGCUCGUUUGAGCGAGCGUCGAGCCGCGCAUCCAACGGUGCUGAUGGGAGGGCUCGGGGGCGGUCGGAGCAUCACCGGCGACGAGCAAGGCGGCGGUGGCGUUCGGUGGCGCAAGGAGAAGUGGUCUGUGGGGGCUCUUUCGGCGCGGAAUCUGGCGCAUUCGAACGCGGGCAUCGCACCGUGUUGAACGGCGGCAAAGGUGGCCGUUGAAACGGCCCGCAGCGUCAGCUGCGAAGUCUAACGACGGUGGCCGGAGCUCGAGCAUGCGUGGAAGCUAACUACGGUGCACGGGGAGGAACCAUAGGAAGGAGGAGGGUGCGGAGGCUUACGGCGCGGCACACGGAGGCCCUCAAGUGAACGGGAGCGCAGAGGGGAGGCGGAAUCGAUCGCGGCAGACGGCGGCGACCGAGGUUGGGGAAGAAGAUGCGAGUGACGAUGGUGGCGCUCCACGGGCUCGAUCUGGUGACGAGGACGAAGAAGUAGUCCACCGCGGACCUCCUGGACACCUCGGAGGGAGGAAUGGGCGCCGGUGGCCGCGGUGGAGCACGAUGCUCGACGGCGAUGGCGCUCGGUGGCGGAUGGGGAACGAGGGGGGAGAAGGAGAUCUGGAGGGGAGUGGGAGAGACGGAGAGGGCGACAGUGGAGAGCGGGGGAGAGGACCGAGGCGUCUGGGGCCUUAUCCCCUCGUCGGGCGUCGCCGGCGAGGUGGUUGGACGGCGACGGGCGCGCUGUAGCGACUCGGGUCGUGGAAUAGUGCGGGGGGAGACGACCGGGGAGGAGGAGUGGGCUGGCCAGCCGGAGUGGGCCGGCCCAGGUGGGCAGGGGGCUGUGGGCCGUCCGGUUGGCCGAGGUGGGCUGAGGCCCAAGGGGAGGCCAGGGCUCUCCCACCCCUUCUCUUUUUUUCCUUUUUCUUUUUUUCAGCAGCUUUUGCAUUUUCUUUUUAGCCAAUAAUGACUUUGCAAAAAAUUUCCACUGGCCAAAACAAUUUCAAAGAAUUAAAGUGAACUGCCACAAAAAGGUUGGGAGGCUUUUGGAAUAGUUGCCAAAUUUAUAAAUUAAAAAGGGCAUUUAAUUUAUUGCUUAGGUCACUCUUUUAAGUAGCUUAGGCCACUUAAACCCUUUGCAAAAAAUUUGGUUCACCACCAAUAUUAGUUGUGGAAUAUUCGGCACAUGAUGAACAUUUUUUUCAUGUUUGAGAAAUUUGAAUUUUGACUUUAAUUUGAAUUUGAGAUCUGGGCUGGAUUAGAAUCAAAGUGAGAUUAGCAAUAGUAACAAUGAUGACAAGGCAUCAUUAGAAGGGGAUUACUGUAGCAUGAUUCUCGGGGUGUUGCAAUGGUGCACUAAACUAUUAAGUAGUCAUCAUACAGAGCUUUGUCAAACGUUCAUAAUGUGUGCAUCUGCUCCUGCAAUUGGUCUAUCACCUAGCGGUGCAUCAAGGACAUAAUUCUUCUAUGCAGCAAUGAGGAUAAUCCUCAGAUCACGGACCUAGUCCGCAUCAUUGCUAAUAUCAUCUCUCAACUUAGUUUUCUCUAGGAAUAUAUCAAAAAUAAACGGGGACCUACAUAGCAAGCUAUUGAUCUACAACAACAUAGACAUGCAAAAUACUAUCAGGUACUAAGUUCAUGAUAAAUUAAAGUUCAAUUGAUCAUAUUACUUAAGAACUCCCACUUAGAUAGACAUCCCUCUAAUCAUCUAAGUGAUUACGUGAUCCAUAUCAACUAAACCAUGUCCGAUCAUCACGUGAGAUGGAGUAGUUUUUAAUGGUGAACAUCACUAUGUUGAUCAUAUCUACUAUAUGAUUCACGCUUGACCUUUCGGUCUCAGUGUUCCAAGGCCAUAUCUGCAUAUGCUAGGCUCGUCAAGUUUAACCCGAGUAUUCUGCGUGUGCAAUACUGGCUUGCACCCGUUGUAUGUGAACAUAGAGCUUAUCACACCCGAUCAUCACGUGGUGUCUCGGCACGAAGAACUGUCGCAACGGUGCAUACUCAGGGAGAACACUUAUACCUUGAAAUUUAGUGAGACAUCAUCUUGUAAUGCUACCGCCGUACUAAGCAAAAUAAGAUGCAUAAAGGAUGAACAUCACAUGCAAUCAAUAUAAGUGAUAUGAUAUGGCCAUCAUCAUCUUGCACCUUUGAUCUCCAUCUCCAAAGCACCAUCAUGAUCACCAUCAUCACCGGCUUGACACCUUGAUCUCCAUUGAAGCAUCAUUGUCGUCUCACCAAUUAUUGCUUCCACGACUAUCGCUACUGCUUAGUGAUAAAGUAAAGCAAUUACAUGGCGAUUGCAUUUCAUACAAUAAAGCGACAACCAUAUGGCUCCUGCCAGUUACCGAUAAUUGUAUUGCAAAACAUGAUCAUCUCAUACAAUAAAAUUUAACAUCAUGUCUUGACCAUAUCACAUCACAACAUGCCCUGCAAAAACAAGUUAGACGUCCUCUACUUUGUUGUUGCAAGUUUUACGUGGCUGCUACGGGCUGAGCAAGAACCGUUCUUACCUACGCAUCGAAAACCACAACGCGGUAUAGUGAUUGCUUUUUGAUCUUCUAAAAGAACCCUGUUCAUUGAAUCCAAUUCAACUAAAGUUGGAGAAACUGACACCCACCAGCCACCUGUGUGCUCAGCACGUCGGUAGAACUAGUCUCGCGUAAGUGUACGCGUAAUGUUGGUAUGGGCCGCUUCAUCCAACAAUACCGCCGAAUCAAGAAUCAACUAGUGACGGCAAGCAAUAUGUAUAUACCCACGCCCACAACUCCUUUGUGUUCUACUCGUGCAUAUAACAUCUACGCAAAAAUCUGGCUCGGAUGCCACUGUUGGGGAACGUAGUAAUUUCAAAAAAAAUGCCUACGCACACGCAAGAUCAUCGUGAUGCAUAGCAACGAGAGGGAAGAGUGUUAUCUACGUACCCUCGUAAACCUUAAGCGGAAGAAUUUAUCAACACGGUUGAUGUAGUCGUACACCUUCAUGAUCCGUCCCGAUCAAGUACCGAACAUACGCCACCUCCGCGUUCAGCACACGUUCAGCUCGAUGACGUCCUCGCCUUCUUGAUCCAGCAAGAGGGGUGAAGUAGUAGAUGAGUUCCGGAAGCACGACGGCGUGGUGAUGGUGUUGGUGAAGAACAAUCUCCGCAGGACUUCGCCUAAGCACUACGAAAACUAUGACGGAGGAUAAACUAGAGGGGAUGGGGUUGCCGGCACACGGAUUGGUGUUUCUUGAUGUGUCUUUGGUGCUAGCCCUGCCCCUCUAUUUAUAUGUUGAGCCCUAGGGUCGAAACUUGGAGUAAAAGCCUCCUCAAAGUCGGUUUUGCCCGAAAGGCGAGAGUCCUACUCGGACUCCAGGGCUAGACGCCAGGGUUCCCGGCGUCUACCCCUAGACACUAGGGUUCUUGGCGUCUAGCCUCUAGUCUCCGCAAAACUUCCUUUUGCACUUUCCAAAAUCCUCGUGGGCUUUCCCCUUUGGCCCAAAUAAAGUGUUCUCGUACCCAAACAUUUCGAGAAACAUCUGGAACCCCUUCCGGUGAAUUCUGGAACCCUACCGGAGACCAAACACUAUUAUCCCAUAUAUCAAUCUUUACCUCCGGACCAUUCCGGAGCUCCUCGUCAUUGAUACGUCUCCAACGUAUCUACUUUUCCAAACAUUUUUGCCCUUGUUUUGGACUAUAAAUUGCAUGAUUUGAAUGGAACUAACCCGGACAGACACUGUUUUCAGCAGAAUUGCCAUGGUGUUAUUUUUGUGCAAAAAUAAAAGUUCUUAGAAUGACCUGAAAAUCAACGGAGAAUAAUUUUGGAAUAUAUAAAAAAUAUUGGCGAAAGAAUCAACGUCAGGGGGCCCACACCCAGUCCACGAGGGUGGAGGCACGCCCCCUGCCUCGUGGGCCCCCUGGUGCUCCACCGACGUCCAUCCUGACUCCAUAUAUUCACGUUCAGGGAGAAAAAAAUCAAAGAGAAGGAUUCAUCGCAUUUUACGAUACGGAGCUGCCGCCAAGCCCUAAACUCUCUCGGGAGGGCUGAUCUGGAGUCCGUUUGGGGCUCCGGAGAGGGAAAUCCGUCGCCACCGUCAUCAUCAACCUUCCUCCAUCACCAAUUUCAUGAUGCUCACCGCCGUGCGUGAGUAAUUCCAUCAUAGGCUUGCUGGACGGUGAUUGGUUGGAUGAGAUUUAUCAUGUAAUCGAGUUAUUUUGUUAGGGUUUGAUCCCUAGUAUCCAUUAUGUUCUGAGAUUGAUGUUGCUAUGACUUGGCUAGGCUUAAUGCUUGUCACUAGGGCCCGAGUGCCAUGAUUUCAGAUCUGAACCUAUUAUGUUUUCAUGAAUAUAUGUGAGUUCUUGAUCCUAUCUUGCAAGUCUAUAGUCACCUAUUAUGUGUUAUGAUCUGUUAACCCCGAAGUGACAAUAAUCGGGAUACUUACCGGUGAUGACCGUAGUUUGAGGAGUUCAUGUAUUCACUAAGUGUUAACGCUUUGGUCCGGUACUCUAUUAAAAGGAGGCCUUAAUAUCCCAUAGUUUCCAAUAGGACCCCGCUGCCACGGGAGGGUAUGACAAAAGAUGUCAUGCAAGUUCUUUUCCAUAAGCAUGUAUGACUAUAUUCGGAAUACAUGCCUACAUUACAUUGAUGAACUGAAGCUUGUUCUGUGUCACCCUAUGUUAUAACUGUUGCAUGAUUGAUCGCAUCUGACAUAAUUAUCCAUCAUUGAUCCAUUGCCUACGAGCUUUCCAUAUAUUGUUCUUUGCUUAUUUACUUUUCCGUUGCUGCUGUUACAAUCACUAUAAAACCCAAAACUGCUACCAUUACUUUUGCCACCGUUACCACUACUAUCAUAUUACUUUGCUACUAAAUACUUUGCUGCAGAUAUUAAGUUUUCCAUGUGUGGUUGAAUUGAGAACUCAGUUGCUAAUACUUCAGAAUAUUCUUUGGCUCCCCUUGUGUCGAAUCAAUAAAUUUGGGUUGAAUACUCUACCCUCGAAAACUGUUGCGAUCCCCUAUACUUGUGGGUUAUCAAGACUAUUUUCCAGCGCCGUUGCCGGGGAGCAUAGCUCUAUUCUUUGAGUCACUUGAGAUUUAUAUUUGUUGAUCACUAUGAAGAACUUGAAAGAUAAAAGAACCAAGAUUUUUCCCUCAACUACGAGGGGAGGUAAGGAACUGCCAUCUAGCUCUGCACUUGAUUCACCUUUUGUUUUGAGUAAACUUGCGACACCUACUCCUACUAUUCAUUCUAAUAUGUCGCAUGUUAUUGAUGAUGCCACUUCUGCUUUGCAUGAUACUUAUGAUGAAAGUACUUCUAUGCUUGAUAAUACUAUGCCACUAGGUGAAUUUCUUGAUGAACAACUUGCUAGGGCAAGAGAGAAUGUGUAACACCCCGGAUGUAACUUACCUUAUUUGUACUCCAACUCUUGCCGUUUCCGGCGUUAAGUUAUUUUAUUUCCUCGGGUUUGGGUUUUUGUCUCCGUGUGUUGUUGUUGUUGUUGUCGUUGUCAUGCAUCUCAUAUCAUGUCAUCAUGUGCAUUGCAUUUGCAUACGUGUUCGUCUCAUGCAUCCGGGCAUUUUCCCCGUUGUUCGUUUUGCAUUCCGGCACUUCUAUCUCCUCCGGUGGUCAUUUCUACCUUCUUUUCUUAUAUGGGGGUUAAACAUUUCUGGAUUGGACCGAGACUUUCCAAGCGGCCUUGGUUUACUACCGGUAGACCGCAUGUCAAGUUUCGUACCAUUUGGACUUCGUUUGAUGCUCCAACGGUUAACCGAGGGACCGAGAAGGCCUCGUGUGUGUUGCAGCCCAACACCCCUCCAAUUUGGCCCAAAACCCACCAAAACCCUCUCCAUCAUAUAGAGCGUUCGAUCACGAUCGCGUGGCCGAAAACCGCACCUCAUUUGGACACUCCUAGCUCCCUCUAUGCCUAUAAAUAGCCCCCCUCCGAAAUUCACGUUUCCUUCUUCCCCCGAAACCCUAGAUCCACUCCUCCGCUCACCGGACAACGUCCGCCGGCACCGGACGUGUCUGACCCGCCCGCCAGCGCCACGUGUCAGCCGCCCAUUCGCCGCGCCACCGCCGGCCCGGGAGGCCCAGACCGGGCCCCCGAGGCCCACAUCGCCGCGCCGCGCCAGGGCGCUCCCCGCCGCCACAUNNNNNNNNNNNNNNNNNNNNNNNNNNNNNNNNNNNNNNNNNNNNNNNNNNNNNNNNNNNNNNNNNNNNNNNNNNNNNNNNNNNNNNNNNNNNNNNNNNNNNNNNNNNNNNNNNNNNNNNNNNNNNNNNNNNNNNNNNNNNNNNNNNNNNNNNNNNNNNNNNNNNNNNNNNNNNNNNNNNNNNNNNNNNNNNNNNNNNNNNNNNNNNNNNNNNNNNNNNNNNNNNNNNNNNNNNNNNNNNNNNNNNNNNNNNNNNNNNNNNNNNNNNNNNNNNNNNNNNNNNNNNNNNNNNNNNNNNNNNNNNNNNNNNNNNNNNNNNNNNNNNNNNNNNNNNNNNNNNNNNNNNNNNNNNNNNNNNNNNNNNNNNNNNNNNNNNNNNNNCCGCACUCCUCGCCGGCCGGCGCCGCCCGCGACCACGCCGGCGACCGCGCCCGUGGCCACCUCCACCUCUCCGGCCACCUCGCCGGCGACCGGCUCCCCCUCCUCCGCGGCAAGUUCCAACUCCGGCGAGCUCGAGCUACAGCAACUCCGGCGAGUGCAUCGGGAACCAUGCCGAUCCAGAUCUGGAAAAAUUCGGUUGACUUCUUCUUAGAAACCCUAAUUAUUUUGCCUUCUUGCUCGUGCCGUAACUCCGCAUCUGUAGCUUCGUUUUGCGUGUGUAGCAUAUCAAAAUGUUCGUCUGAGAGAGUACACCAUUUCAUCUCAUUGCAUCAUUUUCAUUUGAGCUCAUCUUGAUGCCCGGAAUGCUGUUGGAAGAGAGCUAUUUGAGUUAAUUGUCAGAUCUGCUGCACCAAAUAGCUAUUUGUCAUUAUUGUCAUGUUUAAUGUGUGCAUGAUAUGCUCUUGAGCUCUACAUGUGUUUUGUUAUAUGAUUUGCCAUCUUUACAGAGGUGCUAUCCAUGUAUUUUUGUGAUAUGUGUGGUGAAUAGCACAAGCUUGCAAAGUGGUGCAUUCGUUAAUGCUGAUUUCAGGUACUUAGCAAUUCCAUAAAGUCCUUGAUCUGUUUUUAUCAAUAUGCCAUAUGUUCAUGUUGUUUCCUAGUGAUCCGUGCCUCUUUUGAGGAUGAUCAGUAAGUAUGUUUUGUUAAUCUUGUAGUGUUCUAUCCAUCCAUGUCUUUGUUUGCAAUUAUGGAGCACCCUAGCUUCAGUCAAUCGAGCUCUACUUUUGCUAUUUCGUGAAUCUGGGCAGAUUGUCUACUUGUUAGCGAUUUUGCCGAGGAUGUUGUUGUUGAUCCGUGCAUGCUAUGUUGUUGUUCUUGCCAUUUCUAGCUUAUAUAAUGUGUAUUCUUGAUGUGUGUAUGCUUAGAUUGUCAUGCUUUGCUCUGUAGUGAGUGCAUCGAGCUCGUAAACAUGCCUACUCGUUAACAAAUUUGCAUCUUCCAGUUUUUCACUAAGUCUGAGAUCUGAUUAUGUUUUUGCCAUGUUCACAUGCUUCCAAUUGUAUUUUCUGAUCCCUUUUGGCUCAAGGUCACUAAGGGACUUUUGUUAAGCUCUUUGAGUAGCUUCAUGGCAUCCCUUGCUUUGCCAUGUUAAGUUCCCGUAGCAUAUAGUUUUAAUGCUUCAAAGUGUGCUACCUGAUCUGAAAUUCCAGGCUUGUGUUAAUUUCACCAAGUCUGAAACCUGUUUACCAAUUGCACUUUUGCCAUGCUUGUUUGAACCUGUUAAUGGAUGAAUUGGCCGUAGCUCAGUGUUCAUCUUUUGUUCAGAAUUAUGAGUGGAUCCCUGCCAUGUAUUUUGUUACCAUGUUUGAGUGAUGUAGCAUAUUUAUAUUGAUGCAUUUAUAUGGCUACUUGCUGUUUAUCGCAGACCGGUGCCAUAUUUGUUUUGCUUGCCAUUUUCAAACCGUGCAUCCGAUUCCAGUGUUCUUUACAUCGAUUUCAACCGAAAUCACCUCACCUUUCCAGUGGAACACUUGGAUACCCGAGUUGAGUCCAGGUUCAAUCAUUCCUUGUCAAAUCUUGCAUAUGCAUCACGUAUCGCAUCCCGCUUAGCAUACCAUGUUUGCAUCAUGUUGUUCGAGCAUUUGCACGUGGUUGAUUGUCUUCCUUUUGCUUGUUUGUCUUGUUUGGGUAGAGCCGGGAGACGAGUUCGUUAACAAGGAGCCCAUUGAGUUUGCUUUCAAGAAUCCAGUCAACUCUGACAACUUUGCAGGCAAGAUGAUCAUACCCUCGAAAUCACUUCUAUCUUUGCUUUGCUAGAUGCUCGCUCUUUUGCUAUGCCUAUGCUACGAUGCCUACCACUUGCUUAUCAUGCCUCCCAAAUUGCCAUGUCAAACCUCUAACUCACCAUGUCCUAGCAAACCGUUGAUUGGCUAUGUUACCGCUUUGCUCAGCCCCUCUUAUAGCGUUGCUAGUUGCAGGUGAAGAUUGGAGAUUGUUCCUUGUUGGAACAUUAUUUUCUUGCUGGGAUAUCAUUAUAUUAUCUUGUUAUCUUAAUGCAUCUAUAUACUUGGUAAAGGGUGUAAGGCUCGGCCUCUUGCCUAGUGUUUUGUUCCACUCUUGCCACCCUAGUUUCCGUCAUAUCGGUGUUAUGUUCCCGGAUUUUGCGUUCCUUACGCGGUUGGGUGAUAAUGGGAACCCCUUGACAGUUCGCCUUGAAUAAAACUCUUCCAGCAAUGCCCAACCUUGGUUUUACCAUUUGCCACCUAGCCUCUUUUUCCCUUGGGUUUCCGGAGCCCAAGGGUCAUCUUAUUUAAACCCCCCCAGGCCAGUGCUCCUCUGAGUGUUGGUCCAACCUGUCAGCUGCCGGUGGCCACCAGGGGCAACUCUGGGCUGGCCUACCCGUACCUUGGACAAUCUAAGUGUGCCCUGAGAAAGAGAUAUGUGCAGCUCCUAUCGGGAUUUGUUGGCACAUUUGGGCGGUGUUGCUGGUUUAGUUUUACCUUGUCGAAAUGUCUUGUAACCGGGAUUCCGAGUCUGAUCGGGUCUUCCCGCUAGAAGGAAUAUCCUUCGUUGAGUGUGAGAGCUUGUCAUGGGCUAAGUUGGGACUCGCCUGCAGGGAUUUGAACUUUCGAAAGCCGUGCCCGCGGUUAUGGGCAGAUGGGAAUUUGUUAAUGUCCGGUUGUAGAUAACUUGAACCUUAACUUAAUUAAAAUGAAUCAACGGUGUGAGUUACCGUGAUGGUCUCUUCUCGGUGGAGUCCGGGAAGUGAACACGGUGUUGGAGUAAUGUUUGCCGUAAUUGGUUCUCUAGUGCUUCAUUCGUGCUUUGCCCUCUCUUCUCGCUCUCUUUUGCGAACAGGUUAGCCACCAUAUAUGCUAGUCGCUUGCUGCAGCUCCACAUUUUACCUUACCUUACCUAUAAGCUUAAAUAGUCUUGAUCGCGAGGGUGCGAGAUUGCUGAGUCCCUGUGGCUCAUAGAUUACUUCCAAACCAGAUGCAGGGCCCGAUGACUCCGUUCCAGAUGAUGCGCGUGAGCUCAAGUGGGAGUUCGACGAAGACUCACGCCGUUACUAUGUGUCUUUCCCUGAUGAUCAUUAGUGGUGCCCAGUUGGGGCGAUCGGGACCGUGUCGCAUGUUGGGUUGAUCUUUUAUUUUGGUACCAUAGUUGGACCAUGAGUGAUUGGAUGAUUGUAAAGCUAUUUAUGUACUUUGUGUGACGUGGCGAGUGUAAGCCAACUAUGUACCUUUCCCCUUUUAUCUAUAUUACAUGGGAUUUUGUGAAGAUUACCUUACUUGUGACAUUGCUUUCAAUGCGGUUAUGCCUCUAAGUCAUGCUUCGACACGUAGGAGAUAUAGCCGCAUCGAGGGAGUUACAGAAUGAAAUUAUUGAAACUGAUAAUAUUGAUGAAAGUGAUCAUGAAGAUUCUCCCCCUAGAUAUGAAUUGCCUGUUGUGCUUGAGGGCUUUGUUAUGGAUGAAGAAACUGCUAGAGACUUUCUUGCUUGCAAUGAUAGAUAUGAUCUUAAGAAAUUAUUAGCUAAGCUGAAAGAAAAAUCUUUUAAUGCUAGAAUGAAGCAUGACCCUGCUUUUGCUAUUUCACCUAUCUUUAUCACUAAUAAGGAUUAUGAUUUCUCUGUCGAUCCUGAGUUAAUUACUUUGGUUGAAUCUGAUCCUUUUUAUGGCUAUGAAUCUGAAACUGUUGUGGCACAUCUUACUAAAUUAAAUGAUAUAGCCACCCUGUUCACUAAUGAUGAGAAAACUCGCUAUUACUUUAUCCUUAAGUUGUUUCCGUUCCCAUUAAAGGGUGAUGCUAAAACAUGGUUUAAUUCUCUUGAUCCUGGUUGUGUGCGUAGUCCCCGGGAUAUGAUUUAUUACUUCUGUGCUAAAUAUUUCACCGCUCAUAAGAAACAAGCUGCUUUAAGGGAAAUAUAUAAUUUUGUGCGAAUUGAAGAAGAGAGUCUCCCACAAGCUUGGGGGAGGCUUCUCCGAUUACUUAAUGCUUUGCCUGAUCAUCCUCUCAAGAAAAAUGAAAUAGUUGAUAUCCUUUAUAAUGGACAAACCGAUUCUUCCAAAGACCACCUGGAUAGUUGUGAUAGUUGUGUUUUCAGGGAAAGAACUGUUGGUAAAGCUGAAUUGCUAUUGAAUAAUAUGUUGAGUAAUGAAAAUGAUUGGACACUUCCUGAACCAACUCCUAAGCCAACUCCAAAGAAAAGAGGUAUUCUAUUUCUCAGUCCUGAAGAUAUGCAAGAGGCGAAGAAAUCUAUGAAAGAAAAAGGUAUUAAAGAUGAAUAUGUUAAGAAUUUACCACCUAUUGAUGAAAUACAUGGUCUUGAUAACCCGACACAGGUAGUAAAGGUAAAUUCUCUCUAUAGAUUUGAUGAAGGUGAUAUUCCUCGUUAUAAGUCUGCUAGCCAAUGCUUAGAUGAGUUUGAUAAUUUUAUUGUUAAACAAGAAAACUUCAAUGCUUAUGUUGGUAGAUAAUUGAAACGCAAUGCUGAUAUCUUGAACACUUGAGUGAUUAUAUGUCUAGAGUUAAAGGUGAACUUAAACUUAUUAGUAAACAUGCUUCUAUGGUUACCACUCAAGUAGAAGAAGUACUUAAGGCUGAGAAUGAUUUGCUCAAUGAAUUAAAUAAUAAUAAAAAUAAUAAUGUUGUUAGAGUUUUGACUAGAGGGGGUAAAAUGACUCAGAAACCUUUGUAUCCUGAGGGCAACCCUAAGAGAAUGGAGCAAGAUUCUCAGAGAACUAAUGUUGAUGCACCUAGUUCUUCUAAGAAGAAAAAGAAAAAUGAUAGGACUUUGCAUGCUUCUAGUGAACCUGUUGUAGACACACCUGAGAAUCCCAAUGAUAUUUCUAUUUCCAAUGCUGAAACACAAUCUGGUGAUGAACAUGAACCUAGUGAUAAUGUUAAUGAUGAUGUUCAUGUUGAUGUUAAUGCUCAACCUAGCAAUGAUAAUGAUGUAGAGAUUGAACCUGCAGUUGAUCUUGAUAACCCACAAUCAAAGAAUCAACAUUAUGAUAAAAGAGACUUUGUUCCUAGGAAGCAUGGUAAGAAAGAGAACCAUGGGUUCAAAAACCCAUGCCUUUUCCUCCUAAACCAUCCAAGAAAAAGGAUGAUGAGGAUUUUCAGCGCUUUGCUGAAAUGAUUAGACCUAUCUUUUUGCGUAUGCGUUUGACUGAUAUGCUUAAAAUGAACCCUUAUGCUAAUUAUAUGAAAGAAAUUGUUACAAAUAAAAGAAAGAUACCGGAAGCUGAAAUUUCCACCAUGCUUGCUAAUUACACUUUUAAGGGUGGAAUACCAAAGAAGCUUGGAGAUCCAGGAGUACCAACUAUACCAUGCUCCAUUAAAAGAAACUAUGUUAAAACUGCUUUAUGUGAUCUUGGAGUCGGUGUCAGUGUUAUGACUCUAUCUUUAUAUCGUAGACUUGAUUUGAAUAAGUUGACACCUACUGAAAUAUCUUUGCAAAUGGAUGAUAAAGCAAUUGCUAUACAUGUAGGUAUUUGUGAGGAUGUGCCUGUUGUGGUUGCAAACAUUACUAUUUUAACGGACUUUGUUAUUCUUGAUAUUCCCGAGGACGAUAGUAUGUCUAUUAUUCUUGGUAGAGCCUUUUUGAAUACUGUAGGGGCUGUUAUUGAUUGCAACAAAGGCAACGCCAGUUUUCAUGUUAGUGGUAAUGAGCAUACGAUACACUUCUCGAGGAAAAAACCUCAAGUCCACGGUAUCAAUUCUAUUGGAAAAAUUCCAACAAUUACUAUUGGAGGUUUUGAAUUUCCUCUUCCUACUGUCAAGAAGAAAUAUGAUAUUCUUAUUGUUAGGGAUGUGCAUAUCCCCAUUGAGGUAACCUAGUGUUAUUCAAAAUUUCUCCAGUUUCAUGCAAUUCGGAAUGAGUUUGUUAACAAGACUUGAUCAACCUUGUUAGUGGAUUCCUUUUGAUGAGCAUGAGAUGGAUGAAGUUAGAAAGCACAACCUUCUAUACCCUCUUUUUACUUUCUAUUAUUUAUAUUAAAUAAAGUAAAAAUAGUAUUUUCUGUCUGUUUUCUGAAUUAUCCUUGCAAUAAAAAAAUACCUCGAAAAUAAAAGUUCUCCAAAUGUCCUGAAAAUUUAAUAUGAUUUUUUCUAGAAUAUUUAAGAAUUAUUGGCACUAAGAACACACCAGGGGGACCCACCAUGUGCCCACGAGGGUGGAGGGCGCACCCACCCCCUGGGCAUGCCCCCUGCCUCAUGGACUCCACGUGGGUCCCCUCCACUUAUUCCUGCACCCACACACUUCAUCUCCCUCCAGAAAAAAUCUCCACCUAGCUCAAACCCGUGUUCUAGCUCAUCUUACUGCCAUUUUCGAUCUCCUUGCUCAAAGCUCCAUUCACAAAACUGCUUUGGGGGAUUGUUCUUCGAUACGUGACUCCUCCAAUGGUCCAAUUAGUUUUUGUUCUAGUGCUUUAUUUAUUACAAAUUUUUGCUGCUUAGGUGACCCUGUUCUUGAGCUUGCAUGUCUAAUUUAUGUGGUCAAAAGUAUUUUUAAUGCAUGAUAUAGCCUCUAGGCACUUGUAGAAGUAGUUGCUAUCAAUUUUGUUGAGUUUGGUUCAUUUUUAUUUUGAGUCACUAAAAAUUUCAGAAAUUUUUCAGAGGAAGAAAUAUGUUUAGGAAAAUGUACCAAGGUGGUUCCUCAAGGAAGCAAGGCCCAAGGCUAGCAAUACACGAGCCGGACAAUGAACUACCAAGGGAGGCUCAAGUGCGGCCUUGUGAAUGGCUGUCAGAAGAUUUUAUGGUCCAAGCAGGAAUUAAGGAGGAAUUUGACGCGUAUGUGCAUAACGCUGAUCUUGAGAGCUUCGUGUGAGAUAAGUGUUAGCAAUACCUCUAUUUAACUGAUCCAUUUGUGAGAAGGUUUAAAUUUACAUCCUCACGCAAUUCUCACAAUGUCUUAUUUGAUCUUUAUGAUAAAUCUUAUACCAUGGAUUUAGAGGAUUUUAAUACUGCUUGUAAACUCCCGCAGUGGGGUAGUGCUAGUGAACCUCACAAAUCUGAAUAUAAAGACUUUCUUGCUAGUAUAUUGGGGGAAUCUAGGGAAAUCACGCAAGCUACCAUAGGGAGCAUUCAUUUUCCUGCCAUACAUUAUUUUGCUCUCUUUAUAGGUAGAUGCAUUAACGGUAAGGAUGAGGCAUGUCACAUGUUGCAUCUUAACGGUUUAAGUGGAGAUUUAUUUGGUGGAAUUUAUGCAACCCGUGUAGCUAACUAUCUUGGUAUACCUAUACAUGGAGAUGAUAUUGAGUUGCCUCCUGCUUAUCUAGAUUAUGAUGCUAUGGUUCACCACCAGUUCCUGGAGAGGAACGAUCAGUUCCUCCAGUACCGACUAAUCUUUGACAGACGGCGCACCGUCCAUGUUGCUCUCCCUGCUCCUGCUUUCUUUGACUUUCAGGCAAAAAGGAGAUAUGUUAUAACUAGGGAGGAAGCGAACGAGUAUGAGAGGACGACAGAGGCAGCCCGCCUCCAAGCUGCAGCUCUUCAGGCAGUAGCUGAUGCAUCUCAAUACAACCCCAGCUUCAACUUCGGAUAUCCACCAGGCCAUCCAUGGGCAUAUACCAACUUAGGCCAAAAGCCUAAGCUUGGGGGAGUACGUAUCUUUCACCGACAUUACAUUCAUGUUUACACACUCAUGCUAGUUGUCGGUGCUCAUACUUUUUCAUUGUAUCAUCCAUGCUAGUUCAGUUUCUUUUUAAGCUUUCUUCUUGUGAGUUUGAUAAACCUUAAUAAAACCAAAAAAAUUAGUUGUAGCUUUUAGCUAGUUUACUUUCCAUGCCUGUAGUAGUAAUAAUUAAAAGAAAACCCAAAAAGAUUUCUCGUUCUUCUUUUGCUUGUUGGGCGCUUUCCCGUGUAAAUAGUUUUAUUUCCUUUCUUUUCUUUGGGGGUCGAGAGGAGAAGACCUGGAUGAAAAUGUUGAGUGGCUCUCAUAUGCAUUAUUGUUGAUCUAACAAAGAGCCCAUAUUACCUUGUCUUCUCCCUUGAAUUGAAUGCUUGCAGAUUCUAGCUUAGUCCAAUGCACGUGUACUAUUAUUAUUAUCCACACUAUUCGGUUGUGCAAGUGAAAGGCAAUAAUGACGAUAUAUGAUGGACUGAUUGAGAUGAGAGAAGCUGGUAUGAACUCGACCUCUCUUGUUUUUGUAAAUAUGAUUAGUUCAUCAUUCCUGAUUCAGCCUAUUAUGAAUGAAACAUGUUUGCAAUGACAAUUAGAGAUUAUAGUUGCUUAUGCCAUGCUUAAUUUGCUAGGAGUUUAUAAUGGUUUACCUUGCGUGCCAACAUGCUAUUAAAAUGGUUGUGAUGUGGUAUGAUAGGGUGGUAUCCUCCUUUGAACGAUUCGAGUGGCUUGACUUGGCACAUGUUCAUGCAUGUAGUUGAAACAAAAUCAACAUAGCCUCCAUGAUAUUUAUGUUCAUGGUGAUUUAUAUCCUACUCAUGCUUGCACUCAGUGUUGGUUAAUUUUAAUGCAUGUUCAUGACUAUUGUCGCUCUCUAGUUGGUCACUUCCCAGUCUCUUUCUAGCCUUCACUUGUACUAAGCGGGAAUACUGCUUGUGCAUCCAACUCCAUAAACCCCAAAGUUAUUCCAUAUGAGUCCACCAUACCUUCCUAUAUGCAGUAUCUAUCUGCCAUUCCAAGUAAAUUUGUAUGUGCACUCUAAACCUUCAAAUAAAAAUUAUGUUUUGUAUGCUCGAAUAGCUCAGGUAUCAACUAGGGUUGUCUGUAUCUUCCAUGCUAGGCGGGUUAUUCUCAAGAGGAGUGGACUCCGCUCUUCACUCACGAGAAAAAUGGCUGGUCACCGGGAUGCCCAAUCCCAUGCUCAAUUCAUAUCAAAAUAAUUGCAAACAAAACUCCCCCAGGAUUGUUGUUAGUUGGAGGCACCCGUUGUUUCAGGCAAGCCAUGGAUUGAUGCUUGUUGGUGGUGGGGGAGUAUAAACUUUACCAUUCUACUUGGGAACCGCCUAUAAUGUGUGUAGCAUGGAAAAUAUCAAGAUCUCUCGGUUGUUAUGUUGACAAUGAAAGUAUACCGCUCAAAAUAUUAUUCAUCUCUAUUUCAAAACCGAGCUCUAGCACCUCUACAAAUCCCUGCUUCCCUCUGCGAAGGGCUUAUCCAUUUACUUUUACGUUGAGUCAUCGUCCUCUUAUUAAAAAGCACCAGUUGGAGAGCACCGCUGCCAUUUGCAUCCAUUACUAUUAAUUUGUAUUGAGUAUGACUAUGACUGGAUCUCUUUUACCAUGAAUUAGAAUGUUUAGUCAGUCCUUGAUCUUUAAAGGUGCUCUGCAUUUAUGUUUUGUGGUCUCGGAAAGGGCUAGCGAGAUACCAUCUUGUUAUAUCAUAUCAUAAUUGUUUUGAGAAUGUGUUGUCAUCCGAGAUUUAUUAUUAUUGCUUGCUAGUUGGUUAUGCCAUUGAUAUGAGUAAACAUGAUACCUAAAUGUUAUUGUGAAUAUGGUUAGUUCAUAAUCUUUGCUGAAAACUUGAAUGCUGGCUCUACAUAUUUACAACAACAAGAGAAAACAGAGUUUUUCAAAGUUUUUCUUUAUCACUUUCAGUUUGUCAAUUGAAUUGCUUGAGGACAAGUAAAGGUUUAAGCUUGGGGGAGUUGAUACGUCUCCAACGUAUCUACUUUUCCAGACACUUUCGCCCUUAUUUUGGACUCUAACUUGCAUGAUUUGAAUGGAACUAACCCGAACUGACGCUGUUUUCAGAAGAAUUGCCCUGGUGUUAUUUUUGUGCAGAAAUAAAAGUUCUCAGAAUGAUCUGAAAAUCAACGGAGAAUAUUUUUGGAAUAUAUAAAAAUUAUGGGCGAAAGAAUCAAUGUCAGGGGGCCCACACCCUGUCCAUGAGGGUGGGGGCGCGCCUACCCCCUGGGUGCGCCCCCUGCCUCAUGGGCCCCCUGGUGCUCCAUGGACGUCCAUCCUGACUCCAUAUAUUCAUGUUCAGGGAGAAAAAACAGAGAGAAGGACUCAUCGUGUUUUAUGAUACGGAGCCGCCGCCAAGCCCUAGACUCUCUCGGGGAGGGCUGAUCUAGAGUCCGUUCGGGGCUCCGGAGAGGGGAAUCUGUCGCCAUCGUCGUCAUCAACCUUCCUCCAUCACCAAUUUCAUGAUGCUCACCGUCGUGCGUGAGUAAUUCCAUCAUAGGCUUGCUAGACGGUGAUGGGUUGGAUGAGAUUUAUCAUGUGAUUGAGUUAGUUUUGUUAGGGUUUGAUCCCUAGUAUCCAUUAUGUUCUGAAAUUGAUGUUGCUAUGACUUUGCUAUGCUUAAUGCUUGUCACUAGGGCCUGAGUGCCAUGAUUUCAGAUCUGAACCUAUUAUGUUUUCAUGAAUACAUGAGAGUUCUUGAUCCUAUCUUGCAAGUCUAUAGUCACCUAUUAUGUGUUAUGAUCCGUUAACCCUGAAGUGACAAUAAUCGGGAUACUUACCAGUGAUGACCGUAGUUUGAGGAGUUCAUGUAUUCACUAAGUGUUAAUGCUUUGGUCCGGUACUCUAUUAAAAGGAGGCCCUAAUAUCCCUUAGUUUCCAAUAGGACCCCACUGCCACGGGAGGGUACGACAAAAGAUGUCAUGCAAGUUCUUUUCCAUAAGCACGUAUGACUAUAUUCGGAAUACAUGCCUACAUUACAUUGAUGAACUGGAGCUAGUUCUGUGUCACCCUAUGUUAUAACUGUUGCAUGAUUGAUCGCAUUCAACAUAAUUAUCCAUCACUGAUCCAUUGGCUAUGAGCUUUUCAUAUAUUGAUCUUCCACUACAAGAAAUAUGUCAACUUGUGACCAGCACUAUUGGUCACUGAAUGGUCACUGUUUUCAAUUUGUGACCUUUUUGGGACCAAAAACAUAAGGUCAAAAGCUGGCGGUCAUAAACUGACUAUAGCGACCUUUCUUCUGGAAUGGUCGUAGACGUUUACGACCAAAAUAUGUCUACUGUGGCGUUUUGGUCACUAGCAGCCUCCGCAGGCCACGUAGGCAUCCGAUGUGGCAAUCUGAUGUGGCACAAGAAUCAGCCUGGUCCAAUUCAGCGUUUUACAUGGGCCUAGCCCAACAAUUCGGCCUUUCUAUAUUUUUUUCCUGUGCUUUUAUUAGCUACAUGGGCCUGGCCCAAGAAUUUGGCCUUUUUAUUUUCUAGGCCAUGGCCUUUUUUAUUUUAUUUUUUCCAAAAGAUGAGCCCACUAGUGAGAUGGGACCCAGUUGUCAGGUUCUCAAGUGGGUCCCAGUUGUCACUGUUAUAUUCUUCAUAUCUCAAUUUUCCAGUAAAUAAAUAACAAUAUUUAAAUCCAAACAGAGAGAAAACAAAAUGCUUCAAACAGAGCACAACUAAUCAGGAAAAAUAUGGUACACAUCACGAAUACAAUCAGAAAGAGCCAAACUUGGCACAUUAUUACAAUCAAACUUGUUCAUCCUGGUAACACAGCAAGGAUGGUUCAUCCUGGUAACACAUUAUUACAGAAAAAUAUGCUUCACAUCAAGUUUACAAUAAAAAAAUGUUCACAUCAGGUAACACAACUAUCAUAGUAUAACUAGCUCCAAUGCUUCUCCCAACUUGUUCGUCCUGGACCUCACGACCAAACAUGAAUGAAGUCCAGCAUCUGCAAGUUAUCAAGAAAAAUGGUUAGAACAAGCAAAAUGCGACAUUUUUACCAUUUAAGCAUAGAAGAACAGGGUCAACAACAUUUCGAUCUUUGAAAAUGAACCAGGAUUUCAAUCUUUGAACAGCAAAAAAUUGAUAUAGUAGAUCAUUUGCGGUUUAAAACAACCCCUAAGGAGAGACAUGUUGACACAUUCAUUUGGCAACAUCUGUAGAAAUUGAACCUCAUAAACAUGCAAUGUGGAAUUUGUAUCUCAAAGAAGUAUACAUACUUAUCAGGUUUAAUUAGCACAUAAACAUGCAAUGUGGAAUUUGUAUCUCAAAGAAGUAUACAUACUUAUCAGGUUUAAUUAGCACACAGAAGCCAAAUGCUAGUAGCUCAUGAUUAGUACACAAGACAAGAUUCAACAAAGUAAACAAGAAGGUGGCUACAGUACAAAACUAAGCUCAUCACACAGAAUAAAAUGAUAUUAAAAGUAAGCUCAGCAUAAGCAUGAGUUUUUUUGGCACCACCAGAUCAAAC